This 71195-nucleotide long non-coding RNA is filed under the name Gossypium barbadense (sea-island cotton). RNAcentral describes it as "long non-coding RNA (GBAR_LNC016191)". Lineage: Eukaryota; Viridiplantae; Streptophyta; Magnoliopsida; Malvales; Malvaceae. The record is from RNAcentral.
UUCCCAUGGCGUGGGUCACAUUUGGCCAUCAUUGAAGAGGGUUCAAAAGCACUGUUGGUUAUCUCAGCCACCGAUAGCUGCUCAUGGUAAGCCUUCUCAGCUGAAAUGACAGGGGCAUAAGAAGAAAGCAUAAAGUGGAUCCUGGGAUAUGGGACCAGGUUAGUCUGGAACUCAGUCACAUCCACAUUCAGGGCUCCAUCAAACCUCAAAGAUGCGGUAAGAGAUGAGAUAACCUGAAUCAUACAUGCCAAAACACCACAUGUAUGAACAACAAUCAUUAAAUUUCAUAACAUAAAGACGAGUAUUUUAGUAAAAAUGCUUAUAGUUACCUGAGAGACAAGGCGGUUAAGAUUCGUAUAAGUGGGUCGUUCAAUGUCCAAAGAACGCCUGCAGAUGUCAUAUAUUGCUUCGUUAUCGAGAAGAACAGCGACAUCAGUGUGCUCAAGGAGUGAAUGAGUGGACAGCACACUGUUGUAAGGCUCUACAACUGAUGUAGAAACCUGAGGUGAAGGAUAGACGGUGAAACCAAGCUUCGACUUCUUUCCAUAGUCAACAGAGAGACGCUCCAAGAGAAGAGAUCCAAGACCAGAACCAGUACCACCACCAACAGCAUUGAAAACCAAGAAGCCUUGGAGCCCAGUACAGUUAUCAGCAAGCUUUCGGAUACGAUCCAAGCAGAGAUCAACAAUCUCUUUGCCAAUUGUAUAAUGGCCACGAGCGAAAUUGUUGGCAGCAUCUUCUUUGCCACUGAUGAGUUGCUCAGGGUGGAAUAACUGGCGGUACGUACCAGUCCUCACUUCAUCGAUAACAGUAGGCUCCAGAUCAACAAAGAUGGCGCGAGGGACGUGCUUCCCGGCACCAGUUUCGCUGAAAAAGGUGUUGAAAGCAUCGUCUCCUCCACCAACAGUCUUAUCACUUGGCAUUUGGCCAUCAGGCUGAAAAUCGAAAAUUCUAAAAGAUCACCACCAUUAUCCACAUUCAAAACCUUAGAUCUCGCCUAAAUUAUCUAUAGAACUGAAAUCGUUCAGCUAACAUUUCAAUUAAUCCAGAUCUAUCCAUUUUUAACGAGUCCGAUCACAAUUUACAACAACAGAAACACAAUUAAUAAAUUUAAACAUAGUCAAACCAAAUCACAAUGUUAAAAUAAUUAAAAAGGGAAAAAAAAUGAAUCUAACAGCAAAAUAAAUGAAAUAUACAAAUCGGAAAAAAAAUACCUGAAUGCCAUGCUCGAGACAGUAAAGUUCCCAGCAAGCAUUUCCGACCUGAAUACCGGCCUGACCGAUGUGAACUGAAAUGCACUCUCUCAUAUUUCUUUUCCUAGGAAAUUAUACGAAAAUUGAAGGGAAAAUUUGUUUGAAAAAUAAAAUAAAUGGGGGCGUGUAUCAAGACGCCUUCCGGAAUAUGAGAUCUGAGGUAUUGUUUAAACUAGCAGGGGUUUAUAUAGGGAGGAAAAAAGGUUCGAAAAACAAAAAAACAUUUGAGGUUGGAAAAACCAGGGUUAGUUAACCGCGGUUAAUGAUGACAGCGAGGAGAGGUUCGGCUUGUCGUUAUUUUUAAGCCAGUACCUGCCUGGCUGGCUGGCUUUCCUCUAACUACCUACUAAUUAAUUUUACUUUUAAAGGGUUGAUUUUUCUUUUAGUUAUUUUGAAAAAAGAAAAUUUAUAAAAUUUAGCUAUUAAAUUACUGGUUUAUAUCUGCAUGGGUGAGACAAAAAUAUAAAUAUAUAUUUUUUAUCUUUAAAAUAAAUUAUAGAUUUUAAAUAAAAUUAUGUAUUUUAUUGUAUUUUUUAAAAUUUGUUUUUUAUGAUCAUUAAAUGUAAAGUAAAAAUGCCUAAAAAUGAUUAACUGAUUGAUCUAUUAAAAGAGAUUCUUUUAUAAGAGAAAAAAGGUUUAGUUUUUGUUUUUCAGAAUAAGAUUUAAAAAAUACCUCUUUUUUUUUUUGUAAAAUGAAAAUAUUGAAUAUUUUUCUGAUAUUUUUUAAGAAUGAAUUUUUUUUAUUACAUUUUAUAUUUAUAUUAAAAAUUGAACAUAUUUUAGUAAUUUACAUAAUCUAGUUUGUCACGUGAGGUUGAUAGUUUUUUUAAGGAAGUAUCUUUUUGCAUGUUUUUAUGAAGUGAUUUAAGUUAUUUUAUUCAAAAAUAUUAUAUGAAAGAGUUUUUAAAACAAUAAUACUCUUGUAAUGAUAUUUAUAAUAUUAGUUAUUAAAAAAUUGAUUUAAAGUGUUUUUGUCUGAAUUAUUGCUGAUAAUUCAUAAGGAAUUUUUUAUAUAGAAAAGAUUUAAGUAUUGCGGGGAGAACUAAAUUAUGUUUAUUUGAGUAUAAUGAAAAGGGGCUGGUGAGUGGAUGGGCUAUCACAAGAAGAGUGGAUUUUACGUUUCUAUCAGUGGGCCCCGAAUCUGAUAGAAUGGACCAAUGAAUUUCACCUCUUACCUGUUUUCAAAUCAAUUUCUGUACCUAUACGCUGCACUCCUAUCUAAAACUAGUAUGUUUUUCCUUAUUUAUAUGUAUAAUAUUAUAAAAUUAAAAUGUUAAACCUAUUUUACCUCUCUUUACUUUUAAUUUCGAAAAUCUACCUCAUCUAUUUUCAAUUUUAUAUUAAAUUCUUCUUACAUGUGAUAUUUGGAAAUUUAAAAAAAAUUAUUGGAUAGUCAUAUAACAAUAAAAAUAGCAUUUAAAAUGUGUAUAUAGAUUAUUUUCCCUUAAAAACAUUCACUCAAACUUGUUAUUUUAAAAUAAUUUUUUUUUUGGAAUAAUGUUCCUACAAAAUAUUGACCUUGACAUUUAAAUUAAAAUAGUUAACAAUAUUAAGUAUUUAAAUUAAUUAAUGGUAUUACAAAAAUAGAAUGACCAAAUUGCAUUCAAAAUUAAACCUCAAAAUUGAGCAUAGCAUAGGGAUCAAAUUAAAAUUUGACCUUUUAUGUAUAACCUGAAAAUAGAGGGAUCAGAAUUGAAAUUUAACCAUUAUUAACAUAAUGUGAAAAAUAAAAUUGUAAAAAAAAAAAAAGAAAAAGAAAAAAGCCAUGAAUGGCUGGAACAUUUGUCAAAGAAAGACCCUCCUUUUUUUUUUAAUGACAUAUCAUGUUGUCAUGUUAACAAUACUAAAGCUUUGAAACUCUUAAUCCAAUUCGAAUAUCUGUCUAAAUCAACUGUCAAUAGUUUGAAGGUUUCGACAAAAGAGAUGAUAAUCUAAUAAAGGCUAUUUUAUCUGUCUAAAUCAAGACAUGGAGAAAGUGCUGUUCAGCAUUAACUCAUUAAUUCCAGGAUCCCCGACUUGAAAUAUCUGUUCUUUUUGAGGCUAAACGCAGCUUACUGAAAUUUCAAAUUCAAUCCUCCACAAACAGAACCAACCUACCAAUUUGACUUUUCAUAAAUGUCAUAAACAGAAGCCCUACUCUGAGUCUGACUAUUUCUAUUUGGUCCCUUGGACAAAAAUGCAGGCCGAGCAAACUCCAUAAACAAACAUGGAAAAAACGACAGACAAUCAUCAUUUCUUCAAAGUUCUGCCGGAUUUUUCUCUAAAGAAAAUGUAUGUCCUGUCCUACAUACGAAAAUGUUAUCCUAAAUACACGCACUACUGGAAGAAACCCAUGCAUUUGAAUAAGUAACAAAACCGAGCUUCAAGACAACAGGAAAGAUCGUAAACAAGUCAAGACUGAAUUGAUGCAUGAAAGAAAAUGGUGGAAGGCAUUAGAAAAAGGUACUACAGAGUCACAUCAUUGUACUUGGUUAGACUUGAUGACAGGACAUGAAUCGUGCUUGUAGCGAAAAACCAUGUAGGUCAUAUUUAAAUGAGGUUUUUAAUUCUACAAAGAAUGAUCUCAAACAAACUUCGUUACGAAAAUAGAUGUAGAAUUGGAUUCUGAGGAAGUAAUCAUCUGUAAUAGCAUCCAAAGAAAAUAUUAUGGCAUCAUAUUGUGUACAUGUGUAAUUGGCAAAGAGACACUCAUGCCACAAGAAUGAGAACUUAAGACUAUCAAGCAGAUGAAGGCUGCAAAAGAAACAAUAUAAGCAGAAAUUGAAUCAUUGAAACCUGGAUAAAAGCAAUCUAAAUAAUAUGAGAAAGCUAUAAAAUAUUUGCAUGAACACGGGUACGAACUAGCCUUUGAGUAAAGGAGUACAAUAUUGGAGCAAGCUACUUCUCAAAGUGAAAGAAUAGCAAGUUUGGAAGACCGACUACCUCACAAGCGGUUAGAUGCAGAGAUAUCGAAAGGUACAUGUAUUAAGUAACAUUCAGCAGUAUAUCAAAACUUGAGGAACUACAAAGUAAUUAGCCAAUAGGAGAUAUUAAAGACAGAAAGGACCAGGCCUAUUGGCUAGGUGAAUUUUUAAUGGGACUACUGUAGCUUUACUUUGAUUAGGUAGACAGGAAACAAUAUGCGUAUAUCUAUAUUUUGAUCAACAGAAAGCAAUUGCAAUCAUGAUUUUAACAUAAAGUAGGAUGGGGACACAAAAAGCAUAUCAUAUAACAGAAUCCAUGGAUCUAAGUAAAGAACUAUUCUCUAUCAGCAGGCAUGGUUCGCCAAGCCUUUUGUCAUCAGAUUUUCUAGUAAAGCCUGCACUAAAAAUUGAUUUACUGAACCAUUGUUCCACAUGGUUAAUACAAGAACAAAUAAGAUCAGAAAGAGAUAUCUAAGUCCAAGCUAUAGUACAGACUACGAAUGAAGAACGCAUUCAGUAAUUGCAAUGCGUACACUUGUUCAGAAGAUUUUCAGGGAACCUAGGUAAGUUCUUUUAUACCAAAUGUCAACUGUCUGUGCACAAGGAAAGAGUAAGUGGCACAUUAGACAGUAAAAGGCGGAGUUCACACUGAUGACAUAUAGCAAACAGAGCUGAACUGCCUGAACAUGUAAUGUUUAAUACAAUAUACCAAGGAAAGGAUAGCCAAAUUUUAAAUUACACAUAUAUCGGGAAUAUUGAUUAAAUUAACUCAUGUCAGCUGCAGAAAUCAACCAAUCCAUACUUUAUCUCAUCAUUAUUCACUUAAGAUGUUAACAUGCAGUGGGAGGAAGUUUACUUAAAUAUCACCAUUGCUGUCACUUAUAAAGUAAUUCUUGAAAAGUAAAACCACAAGACACUCAAAUUUCAAAACCCCAACAAUGCAUCAAUGUAAAAUCAACACAGAAAAGUCAAUCACAGUAGCGUUCUCAAACCUCAUAAUUGACAAAUCAAUUGUUUCCCUGUUUCACUAAUAAAAAACUCCAAGCUUGUUACAUGCAUGGACCACAAACAAAUGAAAUGAUUCUUUUCCAGUACUCUUCUGCAAUUGGCUUUCAAGGGACCAUUAUAAUACUAAAUAUGGAAACAAUUUUCUAAAUGCCAUUAAAGGCAAAAUGGAAUCAUUCCAUUAGAAUGAAAUCAAAUGCAGCAAUGAAAUUAGAGAUAGAAAACAAUUUCUAAAUGUCAUUAAAGGCAAAUGGAACCAUUCCAUCCUCAGGUGGCUUCUGUAUUUCAAAUACCAACAUCAGAAUCACCUACAUUUCCUACCACACUUCAUCUACCAAGCAAAUAGUGAAAAAUAAAAUAUGAGAUACAUGAAAAAAAAUGUGGGCAUAACCAGAAAUAGAGUAACUAUAUCUCUAUAUUUAUAGAAGCAAAGUCAAUAUACGGAAAACAGGGGAAAACUUACAUCAUCACCAUCACGGUCAGUAAAUAUAUUAAAAACAAAGUAUCUUUGAGAAAUAAAUGAUAAUAACAAUACGAAGAAAAAUGCUUCACAAACCCCACCGUCUUCUUCCUCGGUGCAUUUCAACAGAUGAUUACGAAUGCCCAUAGUUGAUGAUGAUGAACUGUAAGCUCCUCCUCCACCUUUAAAAUCUCAUAAGAAAAGAAAAACAAGAGAAAAACGCCAGAAAAAAAAAGACUAAACUAAAAAAGGUCGUAAGAUUUUACUUUUAGCAAGAAAAAAAACUAUAUAUGAAAAUAUUUAUAUUUGCCUGGCUCCAUCCUGUCUGCCUUUUUGCAAGCAAUAAGGGAAGGGGAGUUGUUUUACACAGGGAGGAACAGAGCUACAUUGUACUCUCUCUCCUGUGAAUUCACAAAAAUAACCUCCGAUUUACAAUGGUGUGGAGAGGAUACACCUCUUGAAGACCAAGGGUCGCUUGGUCAUUGAACCCCCCUCUAUAGCCAUUACAGUGACAGAUUUUAAGGUUUUGCCGCUGGGUUUAUGGUCAAGCCCCUUAAAAAAAGAAGCAAAGAAAGCUGAUUACUAUUUUCUGAGGUUAUAUUUUUUUCCAGAGAGAAACGUGGAAAGGGGAGGAAGAUAAAAAUGAGGUUUAUGUCUAAAAUGGGAAUUGCAAACAAGUUAUAUAAUAUAUUAUUAAUUUUUGUGGGAUUUAAAGAAAAGGCCGGUGAAAAGCCAUUUUCAACUUUAGCUUUGUUCCGUUUCUGGUAAGACUCGCUCCAUUUUUGUCUCUCCAAUUUCUUUGCCUCUUUUUCUCUCUCUUUUUUUUUUUUUUUGGGUGUUCUAACUUCGCCUCUAGUUCUUAUAUAGCAAUAUUUCUUUAACUUUUAUUUUUUUAUAAAUUUGUUUAAAAACCUCUUUUACUACUAAAACUUAUGAUCUCCUACCCUAACCCUAACGAUAAUAUAAAUGUUAAUUAAAUUAAAUAUAUAUUUUUAAAUACACGAAUUUCUCUCUUGGGGCAUAAAACGCAUGAAAUUCAAUCAUCAAAAACUCAUUAUCUUCCCAUAUCACUUAUUCUACCUGCUUUCUAACAAAAGAGAGAUAAGAGGAUUAGUAAAGAUAGAAUGAUUGAAGUAUUUUAUUUUAUUAUUAAUUAUUUGUUAAUUUUAAAGAGGAAAAAAAAUUUUAAAAAAGGGGCAUGAAUUUUGUAGGAAUUUAAAACACAGGCUGAAUGUGUGACUUAUUAUUAUAUUAUUUUACGUUUGUCUAAAAAUUAGAGGAGAAAAAUAUCAACUGCUAUACGAAUUCUAUAUAGUUAAUACAAUACUGCAAUUAAUUUGAUACAUUCAAAUACUUGUGUUAUUACAUUUGAGAUUAAACAUAAAAAUAUAGUUAAUUUAGAGUUAUACCAAUUUUUUCUCAACUUAUAUUUAUAUUUUAAUAUAUAUGAUUAAUUCAAAAAAUAUAAAAAACCAAUAAUCCAUAAAAGGAAAAAAAACCAAGGUUAUAAAAAAAAUUAUUUUAACUCUUUAUUUAUUUGUUUUUGCUCUUUUUAAUUUUUAAAUUUAUAUUUUUUUGUCAAAUCACUCUAAAAUAGAUAGAAUUGAUGUGGCAUACAUGAAGACUGUCACGUAGAUUACACGUUGGCAUUCAAUUAAUUUUUAUAAAUUUUAAUAAUUUUAAUGCUUUUUAGUUUUUAAAAAUAAUUUUUUUAUAUUUUUUAAAAUUUUUAAAUUUUAAAAAUUAAUUAAAUACUGAUGUGCCAUCCGUGUGUAUGCAGUGUCGAAAUAGUUUAAAAAGACAUUAAUUUUUCUUUUUAUUUUAGGGUGACUUGAUAAAAAACAUAAAUUUAAAAAGUGAAAAAAAAGUGAAAAAUUAAAUUAAUCUUUUUAUAGGAAAAAAAUUAAUCCUGAAUGCAUUGGUUUGCAAGAGACAAAACAGGAGAAACCUGUGGGGCCAACAAAAGAUCCCUACAAAUUUGUCAGGUUGAUUUUGUUAUUUGUAGUUUUGUCGCUAACAGCAUCAUAGGUAUGAAACUAUAAAAAGUUUAUUUUUUAAUCUUUUUAAGGAAACUAUUUGUAUUGUUGUAAUUAUAUUUUAAUUUUUCAUUUUAUGAUUACUAAUAUAAAUUGGAAUCACAUAUAAUAGAAUAUUUUUAAAAAAAAUGAAACUCAUUAAUCCCAAUUAUCGCUGUAAUUCCCUGAUAUUUCAAUUUUUUGAGAAUUACUUAAUUUAGUGAGAUUCAUUAAUUGUAAUUUAAAAUAUAUGAGUUUGAUUCUGUGUAUUAAUAAAAAUAUUAUUUUAUAAGAUAAUGAAAAAUAUUUUAUCACCUCCUUAAAAAAUAUUGUAUUAGGAUUUUUUUGAAUUUUGAAUUUUUAAUAUGAAAAGCAAUAUUUCAUAAAAUAGUAAGGAAAAUAUUAUAAUUUUUUUAACAAAUUAUCAUUUUUUGGAAAGAAAAAAAAAAGACAUUGUAUUAAUUUUUUAUUAAAUAAAAAUUGAAGUGAAUUUACUAAACUUAAUGGAUUGAAAUUCUAAAACUUUUAAAACUCGAUUGCAAAAUAUUGUAAAAAAACUACAAAAAAAAAAGAGGAAAAGGUUACAAAAAAGAAACCUUUUUUCUAUGUUUUUUUUUUCCUUUUGUUCCUUUAACUGUUGGUGGUAGAGGUGUCCGUAAGCCGGGCUAGGUUCGGGUCGAGCUCAACAAAAACAUUGGGCCUGUUUGUUAGGCUCGGCCUGAGAAAUGGGCUUGAAAUUUUGCCUCAAGCCCGACCCACCCAUAUUAAUUUUUUAUAUUAUUAUUUUAUAUAAUUCCUUUUUAAAAAAUAUAAUACAUCAAAAAUAUAAAAAAACAUUUAAAUAAAUAUUUUCCAACAAAUUAAAAAUAAAUUAAAAAAUAUGUAUACUUAAAUAACACUAAGAUAAAUGUAACUUAACAAACGAAUGUGAAAAAUAAUAACAAAAUUAACAAUAAAAUAAGAGUUAUACAAUAUUCAAAUAAUAACAACAAAUAGUAGCAACAUGAUUGUGAAAUGGUAGCAAAAUAAUAAUAAUAAAGAAGAAAAUAGCAAGAAAAUAAUAAAAAUAGCAAUAAAAAGUAAUAAAAAAAUAGGAGGUUUUUUUUUUGUUUUCAUAUUCGGGUCGGGCUCAGGCUAAAAAGCCUUACACAAGGGCCGACCUGUUUUCUAAAUGGGCCUUAUUUUUAGCCUAAACCCAUUUUUCGGGCCUAUAUUUUUACUCAAACACUCCCAUUUUUGGGUGGGCCUUUGUGCCGGGUGGCCCGGCCCAUGGACAAGUCUAGGGGUGAGCGUUCGAUCAAAUCGAGUGAAAAAGUUUCGAGUUCACAAGUCAUAUUUUAUUAUCCUAACUCUAUUUGAAUUUAUUUCAAAUCAAGUUAAAUUAAAAAAAAUAAACAUGUCAAAUAAAAAAAUUGUUAUAGUAUAACUAAUUUUAUGUUAGAGCAUAUAAAUUUGAGACCAUAUAUAUUUGAAAUAUUUUUCAAAGCAAAAUAAUAAUAAAAAUAAGAUACUUCAGUAUAAUACAUUUGAAUCAUUAAUUAGGUCCCAAAACUAUUAUUUUAGAAAAUUUUAAAAUUUUAAAAUUUUAUAAAUAUUUUUAAUUUUAAAAAUUAUAUUAAAUAUUUAAAAAUUAUUUUGUAAUUAUUGUUAAGAGAGAGACCAAUUUAUUUAUUUUCAAAGUUGACAGUGACCAAAAGAGUAUUUACAUCAAUUUGUUAUUCAAAAUAUUCAAGUUAUUUGAAUUGUGAAAUUCAACUCGACUUGAACUCGAAUUGAGUUAUUCGAGUUGACUUGAAUAACUCGAAAUUUAAUUUUUUUUUUUAUUUUUUCAAAUCAAAUUGAGUUUUGCUCAUCCCUAAUUAGGGGCAAGUGAUGACCUCACCAGUCACCCUAGUGACACCAAUGUAGCAAUACUCUUUGACCAACUACACAACAAUUAAAAUUGUCACGUCUCAUAUUGGCUACUCUCAAAUUAUAAGAUAAAACAAUACUUGCAACAGAGAAUGAGGGGUUAGCAAUUGGAAUUUUUAGGGGAAAAAACCCAAUAAUUUGUUCUCAGCUAACCCAUUGUCAGAUCUUUGUAUACUAUCUAUCAUUCUAUUGGAAAAAUUCAGUUAGAAAAAAGUUUUGUUGCACAAUGAUUUUUUUCUAAAACCGAGCAAUUAUGUUAUUUAUGGCAAUAAACCUGUAACACCCCUUAACCCCGAACCGUCGCCGGAAUAGAAUUACGAGGCAUUACCGGACGUAUCGAACGAUUUACAACAAUUCUUAAAUAAAUAACCAAUAUAUUAAAAUAAUUCAUAAAAUUUAUUAGUUUGUUUACCAAAUGACUUCAUUUUUUUUUUAUAAAAAUUUCGGCAGCAUUUCUGCUUAUUUUUACAUAAAACCCCCUGCAAAUUAAAACCAUAUAGUUCCCAAAUAUCACCAAUUCAACCAAUUCAUUUCACAUUCACAUUUUCUAUUCUAAAUACUUCUAAUCAAACUCAAUCUACACAAUAUCAAUUUAAAAUUUAACAAUGUACUAAUUAGAUAAAAUAGAUAGACUUCUUUCAUUAAAAUCCAUAAACUUUUAAUACUAACAUUUUUAACCAUUAUAUAUUAAAACAUAAUAACCUUUAUACACAAUCUAUGUACAUGCCACCUUUACCAAAGGAAAAAUACAUCACCAAGUUUUGCCGAAGCCGGGAUUAAUCUGGAUGCUGAACCGGGACCUUUGACUUCUAUCGACCUGCGCACGGAAACAAUCGUACGCUGAGUAAUUCAUACUCAGUGGUAUUACCAUAAUUCAAAUUAUAACAAUAAUGUACAUGUAAUGCAUAAAUCGUAUAUACAAUUUAAAUUCAAUAUUUCAACAAUAGCAAUUCAUCAACCAAUAUCGUAUAUCCACAAUUUGAGUUUGAAUAAAUCACGAACCUUAGGUUCAUUUCUCAAUCUCAUUUCACAUUUCAAUUCACAAUUCAACUUUUUCAUAUCAUUUCAAUAGCUCGUUUGACCAACUCGUUUGGUUUAUCAUUUCAUCAUUUACCCUAUUAACAAAACUCGGACUUUGGCGGAUACACGGAUCCAACCAAACACACCAGAAUGGCACCCAGUGCCUCAUCGGAUAGUUCGAAGCAAUAGUUGACACCCAGUGUCUCAUCGGCAAAGCCGAAGAAAGUUGGUACCCAGUACCUCAUCGAAUCUAUCCGAAGAAAUAUAGUGACACCCAGUGUCUCAUCGACUCGAGGUCGAAGUAUCCCUGAACUCUUCCAAUCCUAUGGCAUGCCAACUAUAUCCGACUCAGCCCGACUAGUUAAUAGGGUAUUUAAAUCACAUAUAUUCUCAAUUCAAUCACAAUUUCUCACACUUUCAAUUCAAUCAUUUUUCCACCUUCAAUCAAUAAUUAUUUCACAAAUUCACACAUUUUCACAACUCAAUACAUUUCCAUACAAUUUAAUACCAUUCACAAUUCGAUUCAAAUUCAUUUCCCGCUUUCAAUCAACAAACAAUUCAAAUAUUAAUUCAUAUAAACUAUUCAAUUUAAUUCCCACUCAUAAUAAUAAUAAUACUAAUAAUAAAUUAAUACUAAUAUUAUACUUACCUCACAUUUCAUUUACUAGACACAUAAAUUAAAAUUUAGCAUUUAAUAAUAAAUAACUUGAAUUAUAGUAAUACAAACCGUUAUUCUCCCGUUUUAGUCCUCGAUAACUUUCUCCUUUCCUUUUGACGCCGAUGCCUCGGGUUCUUUGUUAGCUACGAAAAUAAUAAUUUGUAAUAUUAAUUACAACACUAAUUAUAAUAAAUAAUUGAAUUUCUAUUCAAUUUCUUCCUAAUUCUCAAUUUAAUCCUAACUAAAUUCACUUACUUUCCUAAUUCAAUUCACACUCUAUUUCUAUUCAAAUUUCAUCCAAACUAAAAUUUAACUAUCAAAAUUUCAGCAUAUUUUGCUAAUUUUGAAUUUCCCUCAAUUUAGUCCCUAAAACAUAAAACUUAUAGUUUCUUUUACAAUUUAAUCCCUUUUUCAAUUCUAACUUAAAAUUCCUUCAAGUUAAUCCCUAAUUCAUCUCUUUUGUUCAACAUAAACUAUACUUGAAAACCUAUGAACUUACAAAAUAUCAACUUAAUUCCAUCAAAACUUUGUUUUAAAGCUUUUAAAACAUUAGAAUUAAGAGAAAAGGGCUAAUUUGACUUACCAAUCAAAGCUUUAAACCUUAAACCUUCAAUUUUUCCUUUUUCUUUCUUUUUUCUUCUUUCUCCCCUGUUUCUUCUCUGUUUCGUCUUUGGCUAUUCUGAUUCUCUCUUCUUUUGUUUCUUUUAUUCUUUUAUUUUAACUUACUUUAUUUUAUUUCCUUUAUUUUAUUUCUUUUGUUUUCUUUUAUUUAAUUACUUUAAUAUAAUAAUUAAAACAAAUAUCUAUUUAGUAAUUAAGUAUAAGUAUUACAAAUGUAUGUAUUUUAUUAAUACACUUGUAUUAAAUAUCACCAUACAUUUGUCUUUAUUUAAUUUAUUUCUUAAUAUAAUAUUUAUAAUAUAAUUAAUUUAAUAAUAUCCUUUAUAAUUAAUUUAUAUAUUUAUAUAAAUAAAUAAUAUAAAAAUCUAAGAUUUUUACAAUGUUAUGCCGCCUCAACUUCCAAAUGUGGCUUAAUUGCCCAUUUGGUCCCUCUUAUUUUCUUUUGAUCUAUAAUUAAACAUUUACCCUUUAUUCAAUUUAAUCCUUUUUCCUAAUUAUUCUUAAUUAGAUUAAAUUCAUCUAUCUAAAACUUAAUUAAACACACAACUAGUCUCGUAAAUAUUUCUAAUAAUUAUUUUCGGACUCAAUUUACUAAGACGGAGGCCCGAUAUUAUACUUUUUCGAUGCCCGUGAAUUUUGGGUCAUUACAUCCAUUUACCAAAUUUGUACGUGUUAUGGAAUAGGCAGUUUGAGUCAUUUCUCGGCUUUUUACCAACACAAUAUUUUCUGCUCUUAUCGAACAUCGGCUUACUUAGAGUACAAGCUCUAAUUUAUGAAUCGAUGAACACAAUGAAAACCUUAUGGAUGUUCUAGUAGAGAAGAUCGAUAAUUCUCUAUGGGCUAAAAACCACAAGCAAAACUCUCUCAAAACUAGAAUUUAUUUCACUAAAAAUUGACAGAGUGUUAAUGCUUAGUAUUGUAUAUUUGACCUAGUCCAUAAUCUUUAUUUUUAGAGAAAAUCACAAAAGUUUUAGUUAAACACGAGAAGUAAAAUAAUAAUAUUUUAAUCAAAAAACACAUAUCCCUACUAGAAUAAUAAGGUGGGUAGCGGCACCCACAUUGCCUUCGAGAACCCUGUGUGUUGCCCAUCCCAUGUAUUAUGGGCCUACUGAGCCUUUUUCAUGUAUCAAGUACAAUUAAAUAGUUCUUUUUAGUUUUUUCAAUCAAUCCGUAUAAUUUUAUCAAACCAAUAACUUGUUUUAUAUUCUCAAAAUGUUAUUUAUUUACUUUAAAUAAAUUCUGAUUCCAUUAAAAUAAUGACGAUUUUAUCAUACUAGAAUAUAUGAAAAAAUAAAUUUAAUCAUUUUGUUCAAUAAAACUACAAUUAUUAAUUAAGUUAAUUUCUACUUUGAACUUCAAUUAUUUAAUUAUAAUCAAUUAAAUAAUAAUUCGAAAAAAUUAAUUAAUCUCCAAGUUCUCUCUUGCUUAUACUGAUAAAACACAUUCAAUGCGAAUAGUGAUACAUAAAAUCUUUUUUUUUAAUUAUUCAUUUUCAUUUAUUCGUCUCAUUGAUUCAAGCGUAAACCAUCAAGAUUAUACCGAGAUAACAAAAAGCACUAAUAGAACAUAUAUAAUUAAUGUUAAAAUAAUUUAUAAUCAUGUUUGAUCCAUGUUUUUCGUGAAGGAAACUGUUGGGCCGAUGCUCUUGCAAGAAUGGCCAAUAAUUCUAGUUUGCUAAAUAACUUUAACUAGCCCCUUAACUACAGGAGGUCAGGAUACAUGGGUUCUUAUUAGCUUGCUAAAUAAUUCUAGUUUGCUAAAUAACUUUAACUAGCCCCUUAACUACUCACCUGAGUUUGGAUAUGGGAAACAUGGAGCCUUGCGGAAAAAAGUUUAUAAAGGGAACUGGGUUCUUAUUAGUGAAUGGAAAUGAGUCAAUGACCAACAAACAAAACAACAUAAUUAAUGCAAUUCUUUCAAAAAAUUGCAUGGAAAACCAGACAUGAUAGGAAUGAACAAGGUAAGGUUUCUUCUUCUAAAGAUAAAAAACAAAAAGGCAUGCUAGCGAAUGCAAACAUAGAUAUCAGAGGUUCUUCGACAUCAGAAACCAUAGUUCGAGAUUGGUAGUAAGACUGCAAAACAAGUCCAGAAUCAUGCAAGAAAAAGAGAAUUUUUCACGGAGCAAACGUCAAGGUAACCAAAUCAUUUAAGGCCUUAAUGCAAGAGCAGUGGUGUCUGCUCCUAGCCUGGUUGACUUAAAAAGAUCUGCAAACUGAGAUGAUUCACCUGAGAAGAAGAUGAUGAUACAUAUGAUUGAUGAUUCAAACAGAGUUCAUCAAGAACAACACCAAUCAAUUGAAUAUAAAGAGAAGCCAACACUAUAAUAUAAUCUGGGACAUGAAGUUUUAACUACUUUGAUGCCUGUUUCAACCCUUGUGCUCAGCGAUAGGGUGUAUAUAGCAUGCCACAGUUUAUUCAUUUGUAAGCAGAAACAAAGUCAUAUGAUAUGAUAGCAAACCUGCUAUUAUUUGCAGACCUCUACAGCGAAAUGAAGCAAACAAAGUUUUCUUAUGACAUUGAAUAGUUGAAAUCAAAUCCCCAAAUGGGAUUCUAAAGAUUAGCUCAAACAGUAAUAGUUCAAUUGAAGUUGAUAAAGAAAAUUUUAAGAAAACACAUUCUAGCACCACAAAUCAGAUUUCAAAAUGUUCAUAUAGGGUACUUUCUCAGGCUUCAUCAUACAAUGGAAUAUCUAUGAUCUUCCAAAGUGAGAUCCAGUAAAAUGGUCAGACAGAUUGGCGUUACUGCUUCUUCUCUUCUGCUUUCCUUGGCUGAAGAAAAAGGGGAAAAAACCAUGUAUAUAUAAAAAUUUAGUGUAUAUAUUUGGAGAGAUUAAACAAAAUAACAGCACAAAAUAAAAACAAAAGACAAAUACUUGGAAUAACUAUUUAUCAUUAGGUUUGAUAUCCUUAAGGUUAUCAUUUUAAGCAAACAGAAUAUUAAUAGAGUCAAAGUCAGACCACAUUAUGUGAUAAUUCCACAACUUACCAAGACAUACCAAUUAUUCGACAAAAUGCCUCUACCAACAAAACAUAAAGAGCAACAAUUGGAAACCAACCCAGAAGAGAAAAGUGCCCAAACCUUGGUUCCAGGAAAGGAUUGGUGAAGUUCCUCCUCGGGUAUAAUAACGGGCCACUUCUCGCCUGCUUCACGGAACAUUUGCUCAGUCUCAAGCAUCUGACCUUUCUCGAGGAUCAUGGUCCUAAUGGUUUGAGCAGGAGUGGAAGUGGCAUCAAAAGCUUCUUCCACUCCGUUGACGAAAGUAACGGUGAUUUGGGGCGGGUGAUCGUCGGUUCGGCGCUUGACCUGAAGUUGGCAGGCGGGGUUGGACUCUUUAGCUUUGCGGGCGUUGCACUGGGCUAAGAAUUCCAUGCAUGAAGCUAUGCGUGGGUCCAAUGCAUUGAACUCGAUCUUCACUUUGGAUAGAAACUUCAACAUCUUCUUCCAAAGUCGGAUUGUUUGCUGUUAGGAGUUUUGGUUCAGCCAACUCGCUUCUAAUUUCCACAGAACAUCCAUUUGAGUCAUUUACUCCCAAUUAGAGGUCUUCGUGGCCGGGCCAGUCCUUAACAUAAUUUUAGGCCCAAAUGAUAUGCCUGGAAAUGGCCCUGAAUUUUUACCUAAGCCCAACCCAGAUUAUAGAUGAUGAGUCCGAACCCAACCCAUAUUAUUUAAAAAAUUUAAUAUAAAUAAUAUAAAUUUAAAAUAUAUAAUAACUAACAUAAAAGAAAAGAAAAAUAAAAAUCAAAAUAUUGAGUAUUGAAAACAUAUGAUAAGCUACACUUUCUUUUUUGCUGUACAAAUACCCAAAUGCUUUAAAAAAAAAAAUGUCUUGUUGCAGUUUCUCAAUGAAGCUGAGAAACAAAUCAAGCAGCCAACACUAUGUUUAUCCUAUGAUUUGGUGUUCAUUUUUUGCAACCAAUUUCUAUGAAUAUUAUAGUUUGGUUCCUUCCACUACCAUACAUAAGAAACCUUAUCAACUAUUAAUUUGGAGGAGAAGCUUACUUGGAGUUUUUCAUGGCCUUUUUUAUAAGGCUCAAGUUAGAUAAUGGAGUUUCAUUAGAGAUCAUACCUCCUGCUUCCGCUUCUCAUUUAAACAUUCAACGCAAAAGAUUGAAGGAAACCAAAUCAAACCAGUAGAAAGUUACAACUAUACACUUUACAAAAGUAAAGUGAUAAUUUAUUUCAAAUAUAAUACAAAAAUAUUAAAAAUAAAAUUAUAAUUUAAAAAAAAAUUAGGUGAUGAUGUAGUACGAUUUCAGAAUGUCAUGUUAUCAUAUCUUAACAGAAUCUAAGUUCAUCUCCUAGAUUAAUUUGAAUUAAAAAAGAGAAUGAAAAAUUACAAAUUUCAAGGACUAAAUGUUGUAGUAUUCCUUAUUUAUUUUGGUAUCAGAUGUUUAACCCUGUAGUAUAAGAGAAUCUGUAAUUAAUUGACCUUUGGGUAGUUCAUUAUCGUUUUCUGUGCCUGGAACCCUAGUUGGAAACUGUAAAUUUGAUAAGAAUCAUUCAUAUAAUUUUGACUUUCCCUUACUUGGAAGAUUGAUGUGAUUGAAAAAAUGUACCAUUUUCUGUGCCUCAUGUCUAUCCUCAAAUUGUACUUUAACCUGGAAAGCAGCUUCUAUUCUCAUUUCAUAGUCAAGCUUUUUUUCUUCUUUAUUGGAAAGCCCAAGCUUGCUUUUAAUAACCUGUCCUUUUGGUUGAUUUUUAGAGAACAAUUCCGUUGAUCAUAGCUUCCCACUUUUCCAUAUGGACUCUCCACCAUCUCCAAAAGCAACCAUAUUUUGCCAUUGAAUCUUAUUCUUUCCAUGGGGACCCCGCAGACCAUACACUUUAUUUGCAUUAUUUGAAGCAAAUAAUUCAACUAUGUCUACAUGUCUCUAGCUACUAUACCAGCUUCCAUCAACUUUCUUUACUUGAUUAUUAUCAUUAUUAUAGUUUAAAUAUAGUUUUAUUUACUGAUAAUGUAUUAUUAGUUUAAACUUGUUAGGGAAGAUAUUUAAAUGAAAUUUGAUGUAGAAAAUGGAGAAAUCCUGUUCUUGCAAAAAUACCUUUCAAGAAAUGAAGGGGUGCUCCAACUUGUGAGUGGAUGGUUCGUGGCUCACUAUCUAAGGUGAAACAAGCUCCAACCCUUUGAAUCCUUAAUGCAUGUCUCGUGCAAAUCAGCUAAAUAAUAAUAAAAAAGAACAAAUGGAAUCAAAGAAGAGAAACCUGAAGGCAUCUCAGGUUUUUUGUCUGUCUCUUAACUUACAUGUGUAGACAAUGGAUGCUUCUUCAAAAGUCAAGCAAUUUCAUCAUCUCUUAAUGGAUAGCUUGUAUGGUGUGGACCCCACCAUGGGAAUCAUGCUUGCCUUACAGUUUUUAUAAUCAGAACCAGGAACUACACCCACUCCAUUUCAAUAAAUAAAAGCCUCUUAAUAAUCACUCUCAUGAGGUGGGGGAAAGGCCUAUUAAGAGCUAUAUACACAAUUAUUUCGUAAGGGUGCUAUGCAUCAUCAUAAAGCACUUAAGUUGAUUACAACUUACAAGAGCAAAACAAAAGAAAAAAGAGCUUGAUUGGUCUUUACACACACAAAUAUUGAUAUGAAUACCAAGGUAAAAUCUUCCAAAUACAUGAAAUAACUUAAAACAUUUAUAUUUGAAACUUACAUCCUGAUCCGAAUAACAUAGGGUGGGCGGAUGGUGGAUACCCUGCUGCUUCAUCAUACACCGCUGAUCUGAUCAUACUUCUGGUUGGCUCUCUACUUUGGUGACAUUUGAUGCUUCUUUGGUUUUAUUAAUUGACAGCUUGCAAGAAUCGAAUCUGCAAGGGUCAGCCUCAAUCAACAGCUGAACAACCUCAUUCAUCGGUGGACGUUGGGAUGGAUUCCUGUAUGUACAACGCAUCGCAAUUCUGAGAACCUGAAUCAUCUCGUCCUUGAAUGACCCCGACACUCGCUUGUCCAACACCUCCAUCACCCCUUCCUUCGUAUCCAGCUUUGUCGAAACCCAAUACACGAUGUUCUUGUUCUCCCCGAAAACUGCUUCCACCGGUUUCUUCCCGGUUAUCAGUUCCAUCAACACCACUCCAAAACUGUACACAUCACUCUUGGUCGUUGCUUUGCUUGAAUACGCAUAUUCUGUCCGUCAAACACAUUGAUUGAACUUAAUUGAACAAUUAAAAAAAAAAACUAAAAAUAUAUGAAUAAACAAGAUGUAUACCUGGGGCUAAAUAGCCAUAGGUGCCUGCUAUGACGGUAAUGAUUGAAUCUUUGCCUCCUCUGGCUUGUAAAACCUUGGCUAUUCCGAAAUCUGCAACUUUGGGUUCAUAAUUGGCGUCCAAUAGGAUGUUGGUUGACUUGAUGUCUCUGUGAAUAAUAGGUGUCAACAGAUCCUGGUGAAGGUAUGCCAAGCCUUGUGCGACCCCAAGUGCUAUUUGGUGUCUAAUUGGCCAAUCUAAAUGGAUCCAUCCUUUAUGAAGAGCAUCCCAAAGGUUCCCAUUCGGCAUGUACUCGUAAACCAACAUUUUGCAAUCGAAGUUCGUGAUGUAACUAUAGAGCUUGACUAUGUUUUUAUGCCUUAUGCUUCCAAGAGUCUCGACCUCGGUCUUCAACCCUUUGUCGAAGAUCAAUUGGUCUUCUGGAGUGGAGUCUUUUGCUGUUCUACUCCACAGCUUCUUCACUGCAACAACUUCUCCACCUCGCAACCUGAUUCUAUACACGGUGCCAGACCCUCCGUGGCCCACAAUGUUUUUAUCAAUCAUUGCUUCGAGGAUUUCGUGCCGGUCAAAACAUAUUCUAUGGAAGCUCUUCACAUCGUACGAAAAAAAUGAUGAAGACAAGGUCUCGUCAUGUUCUACUACACCUCUUUGUUUGCUGUAACGCCGUCUCAGGAACAGGAUGGCUCCGAUAGUAAAGACAAUGACUGAUAUCAUGAUUGCCCACAUAGAAUUUCGCUUCUUUUGGUUGUGCUUGUGUGAACAUUUGGGGAAACUUUGAACUUCGACAGGAGCACAAAGACCUGGAUUGCCUGAAAAGCUUUCCACCAACCCGUCUUUAAUCAACGAGAGAGGAAUUGGACCAUAAAGUUCAUUGUUUGAAAAGUUGAUGGUGUUAUACGACAGUUCACCCAGACUCUCUGGGAUAUUCCCAGUCAAGUGAUUGUUGGAAAGAUCAACAACACUGAUAGAUUUCAGCAAAGAAAGUGAACUGGGGAUCGAAGAGCUUAGCUUGUUCCCUUGCAACAUCAGUAAAUUCAGUUUCUUCAGAUCACCAAUCUCUGUUGGUAUUGGACCGGACAAGAGAUUGUUACUGAGAUCAAUCUUCAUCAGAUUUAUAGCUCCCGAGAUUUCAGGAGGUAAAAAACCUGACAACUUGUUGUUCUGCAUGAACAGUUCGGACAAGUUCUUGGCAUUUCCAAUUGAACUUGGAAAAGGACCUGUAAAACUAUUUUCAGCCAAGUCGAUAAUUGCAGCAUGAGGGAGUCCUAGAAGAUCUUCUGGUAUGGCGCCUUCCAAGUAGUUUUUGCUAACUCGGAACCGAAUAAGAGACUUGCAGUUUGCAUAACUAUCGGGCAACUUUCCAGAGAACUUGUUAUCUAAGACAAGCAAAUACAGUAACCUUCCACCCCGACAUACCUCUGCAGGCAAUGGACCUGAUAGGUUGUUCUCCGACAAGUCUAAAAGAACCAUAGCGGAGGACUUCCCCAGAUUCUGUGGAACUUGUCCUGAUAAGAAAUUCUCAUAGAGUGACAGCAUGGUCAAGGUUGUUGACUCUGCAAUAGCACCAGGGAUUUCUCCUGUAAGACUGUUGUUGUAAAGUUGAAGGACUUGAAGUUUGGGGAGUCGACAUAGAGAUUCUGGAAUGCUUCCACUCAACCGAUUGACAGACAUGUCCAAGUCUACGAGCUCUGUAAGGUUUCCCAGUUCCUCAGGUAUUGAGCCAGAUAAGUGCUGGUUGUAGUAUAACUCGAGCUGCUGCAAGUUUUUCAGCAAUCCAAGCUCCUUUGGAAUCUGACCUGAAAGGAAAUUACCACUCAACUCGAGAUCAACAAGCGAUGUCAUGUUCCCAAUCGAUGCCGGGAUUGAACCGUACAACAUGCAAGACGUGAAGACCAUAACUCUGAGUUUUGUGAGCCUAGAAAUGUUCCCCGGAAGUUGCCAUAAGUUCAAGCCAUCAUUUUCAUUGAAGUAGAUCACCUCGAGAUCGGUGAGAUUGGUUAUCGACAUGGGGAAGUCACCUGUGAAGAGGUUGUACGACAAGUCGACCACACGCAGAGAAGUCAUUUUCGAGAAAUCCGGAAGUGUUGUUCUAAGGUAUACGGAACUCAUACUGAACUCUUCCAAGAGAGAGCAGUUAACGAUGCUGUUAAGAAAGUUGCCACGGAGAUUAUUGCGGCUGAUAUCGAGAACGCGUAACUCUGGUAGAUGAGAGCACACGUCAGCCGGGAAAUUACCGGAGAGGGACCAGUCUGAGAUGUUAAUGCUUUCAACGUAGCCUCUAUUGUUGCAGCUGACACCACGGAAAUCGCAAUAACUUUUCAUUCCACUGACAUCCCAUGCAGACAAGGCCUUUCCUGAUAGAGAGGCCUUCAUGAGGUUAAAGAACCGAAAUUGAUCAUCUCUUAUAGCUUGAGAAGAAUCAUAAAACACAAAACUAAGCACCGCCAGCAGCAGAAGGAGAUGAAUAAAUUUCGGUGCCAUUUCAUAGAAAAUGAAAAAAGAAGCUUAAUGUUAAGGCAAUUGUUUGCAGCAGAGAAAGGUGGAAAAGUGAGUAUAUAAAUGAGCUGAUUGAGGGGAUCAUGGGGUGCAACAGUAAUAACCCCUCGACGAUGGAAAAGAAAGAAGGUUCCCCUGUUCUUUUUUUUUUCUUUUUGCAUAAAGAGGCUUUUAUUUUCAAUGUUUUAUACCCCACUACCUCAUAUCAUAUACAGGAAUAACAUCCCUUUGGCUCUUGAUGUGAUCAGUCCUGCUUUCUCGUGGAUGGCCAUGGCCCAAAGUUCCACAAAUUUGCAGGUCUAUAUGUUGCCAAUAUUGCCACUUACAUGCAUCAAAUAUACAAAUUUAUUCAAAGCAAGAGCAUGUGUGUAAUGUAUUUUUGUAAUCAAAAGCCAACUGCUUUUCUGGCAUUACAUGAAAGAUACCAUGAUUCUUCUUCUAUCGCUGUACGUGGUGCAAUAAUGUACGAACAUAUAAAUUCCUUUUUCUAGGGGUCCUACUGCUAUACAUUUAUAAUGCUGCUAGCUGUUAAUUUGCUUGUGGAAAAUUAUGCUCAUAUCAUUGUUUCAUUUCAUGUCCCAACAGGAAUUUGCUCUCACGUGUGAGAUUCAUAUAUAAUAUAAUAUGAUAUAGUACAGUGAAUCCUGUUUUUGUUUGUCUGGAUUAGAUUAAGUUAAAGUACCAAAGAAUUUUAAGUAAGCUUCUAUUUACAUCUCAAUAUUUAUUUCAUAAAGAUCGAAUCAAAUGUUUUAAAGAAAGAGAGAGUUGCUGGAAAGCUCAUCACCUUCCAACUGAUCUAACGCUAAAAGUAAGUGAAAAAACACUACACUGCCAGUAGUUUAUUAGGUUAAAUACUUAUGUUAUCUGCAGGUAGGCGAUUUAAGUUAGCAUGAUAAUUCGUGGAAAUUAAGAUGGAUGCAGUUGACAAGCUUAUAUAAUUACUAUAUUCACAAUGCUACAAGCUUAAGGGAAUCUUUGGAUUGGAUUGGAUAGAGCGGGGAAUAGAGAUGAUAUGCUCAAGGAUGAAUAGCUUGUAGCAAAGAUGCCCACUCUUCAUAAAGUCUUUGGUGUUGUUUUGAUUCUCAGCUAAAUAUUUAACAUAUUAGGUUUAAUUUGACUUCAGUCCUUAUACUCUUCAAACCUUUGAAAUUUAGUUUUCUUUUUCUACUUUUAUUUCAUAAAAUUUAGUCUUUUUACAUCUCUGAUUUGAAACAUUGUUGUUAAAUUUGAAUAUGUUAUAUUUUAAUAUUCCAAGUUCUUGUUAAGAAUUGAAAUCCAUAGGUAGCACAUAUCCAAAUUUAACCGAAAUUAAUUAAUAAUGUUAUUAGAUAUUAAUUUUUAGAUAAGAUAAUUAUGUUAAGAUAGACUGAAUUCAUUAAGAAAAUACAAGAAAUGAACACUAAGUAUUUAAUACAGUAGGUCAGUAACUACUAACUGAAGUUAACUGACUAACUAUACUUAACUAACUUUCUUGACUAACUUUUCAGCUAACUCUUAUUCCUAACAUGGCCUAUGCUUCUCGACUUUCCUUGUUUCUGCAUGAGACUUUCCUUGCUUCUGUAUGACAUCCCUUCCUAUGGAAACCACUCCAAGUUUUCUCCUGAAUUUGUCGAAUAACCCUACUGACAAAGGCUUGGUCAAAAUAUCAGCAAUUUGAUCCUGUCCAGAGAUAUGUUUUGUGAAGGACAUUCAGACAGGGAAGAUACUACUGGGGGGCCACAUGCAUAAUGGUUGUAUAGGUUUGAUUUCUCUCGAUCUACUUCACAAAAGCCUAAUCCUACUCAAAGCCUCGAGUCUCCUCGUCUGUGCAAUGUUCAGACUCCUUCCUCUGUUGAAAUCUGGCAUGACAGGCUUGGACACCCCUGUCCUAAUACACUUGCUCGUGUUUUGAAGUCUUGUAGUGUUUCUUUCAAACAUAGCAACUUACAGUUUGUGUGUACACCUUGUAAGUUGGGCAAAUCUCACAAACUGCCCUUCAGUACCUCACAAACAUUGUAUUCAUUUCCGUUUGAGCUAGUGGCAUCUGAUGUUUGGGGACCCUCCCAUGUGCCUUCAAAUAGUUUUUCUUACUAUGUGUCUUUUGUAGAUAUGUAUAGCAGAUAUACUUGGUUGUAUUUUCUCAAAUCAAAGUCAGAAGUGUUUCGAUGUUUUCUUUAUUUUCUCAAGAUGGUGCAAGUGCAAUUUGGAAUAUCCAUCAAAAUGCUGCACACAGAUGGGGGGUGAGUAUCGGUCCUUGUAUAAUACUCUCUCUCAGCUGGGAAUUCAACAUCGAAUAACAUGUCCAUACACAUCAGAACAGAACAGGGUGGCUGAACGGAGACAUCGUCAUGUAGUUGAUAUGGGGCUCACGUUACUAGCUCAAACUUCAAUGCCUUUGGUACACUGGUCGUCUACUUUUUCUCAUGCAGUUCACCUUAUCAACAGGUUACCAACACCUCUUUUGCAGCAUCAAACCCCUUAUGAGAGACUCUUUAAGGCUCAACCUGAUUAUUCUCAGCUGAAAGUAUUUGGGAGUGCUUGCUAUUCGUACUUAAGACUGUUCCAGCAGCAUAAGCUUCAGUUCUGAUCUCAACAGUGUGUUUUUCUUGGAUUUAGCCCUAACCAGAUGGGUUAUAAAUGUCUUGCUACAGAUGGCCGAGUAUUUGUUUCACGCCAUGUUUUGUUCAAUGAGACGCUGUUUCCAUUUCAAAAUGGUUUUGCUCUGAUACCAUGUAAGAUAGACUGAAUUCAUUAAGAAAAUACAAGAAAUGAACACUGAGUAUUUAAUACAGUAGGUCAAUAACUACUAACUGAAGCUAACUGACUAACUAUACAACAACUGUACUUAACUAACUUUCUUGACUAACUUUUUAACUAACUCUUAUUCUUAACAAAUUAGAAGUACUAAAUUCUUGGAAUUAAAGCAGAAGAAUGAAUUUUUCAAAAGUUCAAAGAUUAGAGGGACUAGAGACAAAAUUAGACCAUAAGUAUGAUUACUACCUAUAAAAGUAAUCCUUAGCCUCUGAUUUUUUUUUGUCCACAUUAUCUUCAAAUUUUAAUUUUUUUAUUAUAAAUUUUGAUUCUUAUAAUCUGAUAGCACUUUGAUAUCGUGUUAGUGUUAUCUCAACAUCUAAAAAAUAUAUUUUAUAAAAAAUUUAAAUAAUUAUGUCACAUUAUCAUAAAACAACAAAAUUAUCCAAUUUCAAAAACUAACAUCAACGAAAAAAAAUUUUCAAAUAGCAUAUUAAGAAAAUUUGACAAAUUGUAAGAGUAAAUGUUAGUCUAUCCCAAAGUGAAAUAAAAACUAUACAAAUUAUUAGAUCUAAAGUAGAUGAAUAAGUAACCAAAAAAAGAAAAAAAAAGCUUAAGGGUCAAAAAAAAAGUCUUCGGUAAAAAAUUAAAAAAUUGUUUAAGUCUUUAUGGAAAAAUCAAUUAAUCCCUUCCGUUAACAAAAACCGUCAGUUGACCAAUUUGAUCAUUAACAUUAUUGACAUAUUGAUGGAAGUCACUAGAAACUGUCAUAUGACUAUCAAAUUAGUAAAAAGUAAUAUAUAUAUAUAUUUAAAUAAGUAAAAUGUGCUUAUAAAAUAAAUUUGGACGCAUUGUUGUCCAGAUUUAAAUAAAUAUGAACAAUUGGUUGUACAGAUGAAUGUAAAACUAAAAAAGAAUUCAAAAAUUAUAAAAAAUAUAUAUUAAAAAUUGUAAAAAAAAAUAGAAUAUUAACAAUUUUUAAUACUAAUUAACCAUUCUUAAUAUUAACAAAUGAAAUUACAAAAAGCAGUGAUUAUUAGAGCAUUGUGAUCCAGAUAUUUUUAAUUUAAUUAUUCCCAUAGGCACAGAAAUAAGUAUAAUAUGAAUACUUACUAUUAAACAAAACUAAAUUAUAAUGUAAGAUUUAACCCUAUAAAACUCUUGGAGGCUAAGGAGAUGAUGGAAUUGGAUCUAAAACAUGCGACUUUCAUGACCUUCCUUCAAAGCAAAUAAAAAAAAAAAGAGGUGUAAUUACAAUCCAUUUGCCUUAUUGCAAGAGUUGCGAUCGUAUUACAUUACCACACUUCUUCUACCAUAGUGGAGACUGUGGACAGAACAGUGAAUGAGGUGAUUCAUCGGGUUAAGUGUGUGUUCUGUAGGUGGACUAAAAAUAAUAAGCUUUUUCAAUUUUUUUUAAUGAGUAAAAAUGUGUAAAAUUCAAAACAAGUAACGAGAACAUAUACAAGAGGAAUCAAGAGAGCAGAGAAUGAAGAGAAAUUUAUGAGAGUAUUGAAGAUAUUCAAUUAUGUUUAAAAUAUUAACAUUUUUUAACUUUUUUUUUUAUAAAUUUUAAAAUUUUUUUAGUUUUGUAUUCAUGCAAAAUUUAUCUAACUCGUUCUACAUGCACAUUUUAAUUAUUUUUAAAACGUAGUUUUUCAUUUGGCAAUUUCUGAUGACUUUUGUCAAAUAUGUCAGUAAUGUUAACAGAAAAACCCCACAAUUUCCAUUAAUAAAAAAAGCCAAUUGAUUUUUUGGGCCGUUGAGAACACAAUUAAAUAUACUUUUUUUUCAUAAGAAUUCUGUUAUUAUUUUUUAAUUUUUUUGUUUAAGAAAAAAAUAGAUGAAUGGGUGCCAAAAUAUGACCAGACAGUAAUCGAUUUUAGCUGAAUGCACUGAAUAAUGUUCCUCAAGUGCUAACCCUAUUUCUAUAUAAUAAAUCUGAUUUAUUAUUAUUAUUAUAUAGGGGGAGAAUAAUAUUAUUCUUUUUGGAGGCUCAAUUCCUUUUUCAAUUUGAUUUACUUUCCAUAAUAUAAUGAAAAUAAGGGUUACGGUUUGCCUUAUGACUCAAUCUAUAAUCAUGUGUUCAUAUGUAAUAAAUUUCACUAUUACAUAUUGUUUUUCAUUAACAAAUUUUGUAAGGUAAAUGAUGAAAAGUGGAAAUAAAUCAUAAAAUAGUGUACCCUAACUUUAGAUACAUAACAAUCAUUUUUCUUUCACACCAACUUUUCCAGGAAAAAGAAAAUUAGUUUUCUUGUCUAUUUCAUUUCAUCAAUCAAAGUGACUGAAUAAUUCAUAAAUAAAGAAAAGGCCUAGGAACAACUUUUGAGAGUGUAUGUAAGAAUCAACUAAGAUAUUUCACAUAAACUUUAAAUUUGCUUCCAAUAUAAGCUUUUCCCUCUCCCUCAUUCCCUACAAUAAUUUCCUAUGGAAUCCUCAAAGGUUUUAUUAUGAUUUCUAAAAUUGUUUAGUGUAUUGAUUUAAUUCCUACAAAAAAAUAAAUUUAGAGUUAAUCUUGAUAAAAAAUUUGAAAUAAUUAAAAUCGCGAAAAAAAAAAUGAAACAAAUACUUCAUUUUAAAAAAUUUAUGAUACAUUUUAUCAGAUGUAUUACGAAUUAAAAUACAACACGAAUAUGAUAUUACCAAAUAAAUUAUUCUCACCUUUAAAAUUAUAUAAAUAAAUUAUUCUCUAAAUUAAAUAUAUCUACAAAACAUAACACAUAAAAGUAAUAUAAAGACGACAUCUACACAUAAAAGUAAUAGGAUUUAUAAAACUUAAAAAUAUACAAGUAUAUGAAUAUGACAUAAAAAUAUUACUUCAAAAACAAACAAAUAAUAUGAAAUAUCAACACGACUUGCCAAGUGUGUAAAGAGAGUGAAUAACUCUACGAAAAUCGAAUGCAAUUUCAUGAGACAAUAGUAUUAAAUCAUAUUCAACUUUAUCAUAAUUAGUUGAUUGAGUCUUAAUUUUAUCAAUAUAUAGAAAGACGUGGAUUCAAAUGCACUGAAGCGUUUUAUCCUCCUAUUCAUGAGUCGGGGAGGAACUAUAUCCUCUUUAAUUAAUAACAUAAAUGACCGUUGAAUUGUGUUACCUCAUGCAUUAAAUUAGUUAAUGUUAAGUUAUGGUUUAAUUCUCAAAUAAAUAAAUUAUGAUUAUAAUUAAAUUAUUAUGAUAAAUUAUGAAAAAUACGAGACAUCGAAACGAUUAUAACAGAGUACAUAUGAUCCAAAAUUAAAUAAAAUGCAUAUAUUUAUACAAAUUUACAAUCUUUUAAAUACAUGAAAUGAAUAAUAUGAAGAUGCCACAAAUUAUUAUUUUUCCUCUUAUGUCGAGUUACUAUAAAAAAUUAUGUAAAAUAUGAAAUUAAUUAAAUCGCAAUAAAAAUAGAUAUAAUGUUCUUCGAAGUUGGACUACUAUUAUAAACUAUGUAAAACAACAUGACACAAAAAAGGGGAAAAAAAACAACGACAACAAUAUUACGAGUACAACAUUCACAGAUCAACAUGUCAUGAAAAAUUAUAUAAAUUUAUAACACUCAAAACAUAAAAGAUAUGAAAUAAUUAGAAGAGUGCUUUAAAAUCGACAUAAAAUAACCUAUAAAUACAUAAAAAUUAAAUAUAAAUUUACAAUAUUUUAAACGAGCAUAAAAAAACAUUAAGACAACAGAAAAAGAUAAAUUUAAUUGAAAUAUACUUCUUAAACCUAGACUCAAAUGCUCUAAUUGAUUACCCCACCAUGAUUAAAAUUGUCAGGAAUACAAUAUUCAUAAAUCUAAAAAUGUUUUUGUUAACGUGUUAAUUAUGAGUGUUGAGAAAAGGUCGGCUCAUUCGAAAGAAGUUUUUGAAGUGUCAUUCACUUCAUAAAUGCGAAAUACUUAUCUUACAAGAAUGACAAAUAAAAAAGAAAAGUGUGGGAGAGAUAAAAAGAUGCAGCGUCGUUUGUCUAUUUGACUAGUCAAACACUGGCUAAUUCAUAGAUCUUUGGGUUUUGAUUACCAAGGAAUAGAGACUUUACAAAUAAAGCUCGAGGAUUGGGAUUCCAUUGCUGUUAUUUUAUAUGUAUAUGGUUACAAUUAUCUAUGUUCCUAAUGUGCCUAUGAUGUAGCAUCAAGCGGACUGUUAGCCAGUGUGUAUCAUCUUACGAGAAUAGAGUAUGGUGUUGAUCAACCGGAAGAGGUAUGUAUAAAAGUAUUUGCUCCAAGGAAUAACCCUAGAAUUCCAUCUGUUUUUUGGGUUUGGAAAAGUUCGGAUUUUCAAGAACGAGAAUCUUAUGACAUGUUGGGAAUCUCUUAUGAAAAUCAUCCAUGACUAAAACGUAUCUUAAUGCCCAAAAGUUGGACAGGGUGGCCUUUACGUAAGGAUUACAUUGCCCCCAAUUUUUAUGAAAUACAAUACGCUUAUCGAAUGGUAAGAAACUAAUUACAACUCCAAAUAUCCAAGGAAUAUUUGUACAUUCUCUCGUAGCUCAAACUGAGGAAUUGAAAAGCUUUUUAUAAGCUGAUUUAUUGAAGUCAUUCAUCAACGGUGGCAUGCCACAAUUCCUUUUUCUUUUUGACCCUAUGCCAGUAAUUCCACUAUUAUUAGUGAACAAUAAUGGAAAAAUUAAAUUCCUUCAUGUUUGUUUCAUAAUCAUAGAGAUAGGGGACAUAAUACACAUGGAUAUAGUAAGUUUUGUUUGGGCUGCUUUAAUGAUAGUCUUUACAUUUUUCCCUUUCACUCGUAGUAUGGGAAGUGGGCUUCAGGGGUGCUCCUAAUUGAGGUUGAAGAAUCAAAUCGUAUUAAUUAUUUUUUAAAUCGUUUUGCAAAAUUUUUUUUAAUUAUUUUAUUAGUCUUCAUUUCGAAUUGAAUGCUUGAGACAAUAAAUUCAACAAAAAUAAGAAUACCUCGUCAAAAUAGACCAUGACGCACGAUGAGCAUAAUGUGUUUACCAACUAAUAAAAUAUCAAUCACAAAAUUUAUAUGCAAGUACACAUAAUAUCAUUCCACCAACACAUUUUUUAUUAUAUGCAUCUAGGCCCAUACCCAAUUUUCCUUUUUUAGACAAUUACUAAUUGAUAUCAAUUUGGGUUGUUUGUGUCUAUAAGCUCAAGACCCGGGCAUUGAAAAUUGAAAAUCUUGUCUAAGUGGGCUAAAGCCCGGUGACCUAGCCAUCGAUAUUUAAUAAAUAGGAAAAUAUUAUAAUAAAUACAAUAUUUUAAGAUCCCGCCUAGCAAUAUUUAUUGAAUAUUUAUAUCUCUUGGUUUUAUUUUUUCAAUAAUAAAGGACAGGUUUUGUUAUUAGUUGCAUGCUAAGUGUGGAUUUAAUUUAUGUAUAUAUAUUAAUUUCGUUAAUUUUUUAAAUUUUAUAUUAGAUCAUUCUCAAUCAUUAUAUUUUUUUAAUUACAAAAUUUUAGUAUUGAUGCGAACAUCAACCCUAAAAUCAUUUAGCCGACCUUUUAGUGAGAAAUAUAUAAAAAUAACAACAUGACAUAACAUUAUAUAGGCAAUAAUAUGUUCUUUGUGUUAUAUGUUGGAAAUAACAUAACUUAAUGAAUAUAAUGUCUACUAUUGGGUUAAGAUUGAAAUUUCAAAUUUUGAAAAAUAUCUUUACUAAAAUUACCAAAUUAAAGUAUAUGGAUUGAAUCCAUAAUAAGGACCGAUAGCAAAGUUUAACAAAAAAAAUAAACCAAAUAGCUAAAGGUUUUUUCAUCAAAAACAUCUAGCAUAAUGCCAAAUUUAGCCCUUAAUAUUUAUAUUUUUUUGUCAAUUUGAUUCUUGUUUUUUUUUUAAGCUAAAUUUGGUCCACAAUCUUUUAUAAAGAGUCAAAUUUAACUAUCAAUCUUUUGAAAAAAAAAAGUCGAAAUGAUAUUUUUCUAACAAGAAUACUAACUAAAAUGUUAAAAUUUUAAACACUAUAACUUGCAUAACAGUCCACGUGUACUUAUUGACGAAGCCACAUGCAUGAUUGUGGGGCAAUUAAAGAAAAAUAAAAGAAAUUUUACUCGUAAUUUUUAUAAAAAAAAUUAUAUAAUUGAUAAAUUGACCCAUAAAAAUUUGAAAAUUAUUUACCAAAAAUUUUAAAAAUAAUUAUUUUUACAAAAUUAUUUUAUAUAAAAACAAAAGAAUAUCCAUAUCCACUAAAAUCCAUUUUAUUUUCUUUUAACACUCAUUACUUUUCUCUCAAAAUUCUCUUAUUCUCUCUCUCAAAAAAAAAAUCUUUCAAUACUUUCAAACAGAAUUUCGUAAUUGGUAGUUCUGACUUUUCUUGUGAUAGAUUAAGAUUUUUAUACAAGAUCUAGUUUUUUAUUGAUUGAAUGAUUUUGGGAUAUUGAUUUUGUAUGAGAUUUCUAAUAUAUUGAUUGGAUAAUAAUUUGUACAUGUUAACUAAUACAAAUCCUUGAAGAAAUUAAAAUUGGUUGUAUUUAUAAUCUUGAUUUUUUAAAAAUAUUGAUUAAACAUUUAGUAUUUUUAUUUAGAAAUUAUUAUUGUCAAUGUAAUUAUUGUGAACCUUGUAUUUGAAAAUUGAUAUAUUGUAUUACCAUGACACCAAAAAGCACUUAAAUGAUUUUUAUUUUUGUUAAUGAAAAUAACUAAUUGUAUACAAGUAAAGUUUUUUGUGCAAGGUUUAAAUAUAUUUUUUAAAAAAGUUUACAAGUAAAGUAGGAGAAGAACAACAAGAAAGGGUGAAUAGUCAAAGUGAAAUACAAACCAAUAUAAAAAGAAAAAGUCAAACUAAUUAAAUUUAGCUUUUAAAGCUUUCUAGCUAUUCAAGGAUUGACAGCUCAAAUUACAAAUUUAUCAACCAAAUGAUAGAGACAAUAUAAGAAGGGCAUAUUUAUUUUAUUGAGUACAAUAGUUGAUAUGACUUUUACAAACAUUUUAACUUUUCAAAAUUUGACUCCACAAUUUAAAUUUAUUGUCUCCGUGUACUUCAUUCUAUUUCUUUUUCAAUUUUUUUAUAAUUUUGAUUUAUUUUAUUUUUAUAAACUUUAUAUCAUAUAAAGAUUAAAAUAAGUAAAAAAUGCGAAAUACUUAAGCAAAUUAAACCCGUAGAAUUAACAACAUCUCGUACAAUUUUUAUGAGUGUGUGUCAAGUUAAUACUCAAUAAAUUGCAAAAAUUAUUUAUAUGCUUCGAUCAGCAUUUCAUUCUCCAUUUGAUUGCCCCUUUUUUGUUGCGUAAAAGUAAAUUAAAAUGGUUUAAAAUAACACGAGUGUUACGUCACAGCUAUGCAAAGUUUAUGGCAAAUUAGUUAAUAAUCUGAGGGUCACCAUUGCCAUGGAAAUAAUAUAAAGUUGAGAUCAAGCCUAGGCUUCUAGAAUUAGAAUCAUCAUCUAAAUUGGCUCUUGCUUGAUUGGUCAGCUAAGCCCUAAAAGAUAUGGAAUUUGUUUUCCGACGCAACGCCUUCCAACAAAUUAAUUGGAUUAAAUAUAAUCUUGUAUGUUACGAGAUACAACAGAAAUCUUUGGUAGCUUCCAAAACCUGUUGGAUCAAAUUGUUUCAGAUGAGUAAUGUCAUAAGAUUUCAUGAUAACAGUGUUUAUUGUUUUUGGCAGAUUUCAUCUGAAAAAAAAAAAGAGAGAAGAAAACUGGCAUUUCUUGUCUCAUAUAAAGCGUACAAUUAAUACCACUAUCACAGGCUCUAGCUAAUACUUCACAAGUGAUCAGAGCUGAUUCAAUUUUACAAUAUGGUACAAAAAUGGUUAUUACAAUAGCUGGCAAUGUUACAGGAUUUUGGGACUAUAGGUUGAACUGGUCGGCAGAAUCCAUGGCUUCCUUUUUCUUCACUUCACCGUCCUUAUUGAUUACGAUGCUGACCAAUUUGCAUGGUUCAGCUUCUUCCAGCAUUUGAACCACGCUUCUCAUGGUUGGUCUAAGUGCCGGCAGCUGGGUCGUGCACAAAAUGGCUAUUUUCAGCACCUUCACAGCAUCUUCUUUGAAAGCUACUGGGAUUCUAGGGUCCACUAUACUUAAAACACUCUCUUUGUUCUUUAGUUUGCUUGAAACCCAAGACACUAUGUCUUUAUUAUCUCCGAACUCUGGUUCGAUAGGUCUUUUUCCGCUCACUAGCUCCAUUAAUACUACUCCGAAACUGUACACAUCGCUCUUCUCGUUUACUUUGUAUGUGUAACCGUAUUCUGCAGAAUUAACAUUUGUACUAUUAAUAAAACAGGAUCUGUAAAAGAUAAUUUUGUGACCAAUGUUUCAUUUGGGAAGUAAACAACUGAAAUUUAACUUACCAGGGGCUAUGUAUCCAUGGGUGCCUGCAAUGACAUGGGUUGAGUCUUUGCCACCAUUGGCUUGGACAAUCUUGGCAAGUCCGAAAUCUGCAAUCCUAGGCUUCAAAAACUCAUCCAGCAAUAUGUUGCUGGAUUUGACAUCCCGGUGGAUCACCGGCCUUUCACAUCCAUGAUGAAGGUACUCCAGUCCCUUAGCUGCACCGACUGCAAUCUCGUACCUUGUAUCCCAAUCGAGCUCCAUUUUUCGACUCGUAUGCAACCGAUCCCACAAGCUCCCGUUAGGCAAGUACUCGUACACCAACAGGCUCGAGUCUUCGCUAGUAAUGCUGCAGUAAAGCUUGACCACAUUGACAUGUCUUAUUGAGCUCAGUGUCUGUACCUCCGCAUCGAACUCCUUUUCCUUUCCCGAACGUCUGCCAAGGAUCGGGGUACUGCUCCGGCUCUUCCAGCGGCCAUGAGAAUCCGUGUUCCAUAUGUGUUUCACAGCGAGUUCUACACCAUUAGAAAGCAUAACUUUAUAUACAUUCCCGGCCCCUCCUUUCCCAAUAAGAUUCUCUUGCUUGAUAGAAUCAAGAAUAUCAUCUUCGGUGAAAGUUAACACAUGGAAAGACUUAACAUCCCAUGAUUCUUCCUUCAAUGAACGGUUAUGAUCUGUUUCCUUCCUCCUUAAAUAUAAGAUACAUCCAAGUGAAGCAAGCACGAUUGCACCUACGGCCAAACAAACUAUAAGCGUACGAACAUGUUUCGACAUUCCGGAAUCCGGUGGACAUUGCUUGAAAGAUUUGAUAGUUGAACUGCAAAGGCCUGGAUUUCCGGCCAAGCUACCGUUAUACGCUUCGACGGCAAGAGACUGGGGUACAGGACCGGUUAAACGGUUAUAGGACAGAUCAAAAAGGUUCAACCUGAGAAACGACAAGCUCUCUGGAAUUCUACCCGAAAGUUCGUUUCGAGACAAAUCCAGAGAGUUCAACGUCGGCAAAGAACCUAAAGAUGACGGGAUUUUGCCCGAAAGAGAAUUGUUAGCCACGUUUAUGUUACUGAUGGAAGCACAAGAGCCUAAUGAGUCUGGUAUGGGACCAGAGAACAUAUUGUUCUGCAAUUUAAGGCUGCUCAAUGCUUUCAGUUCCCCAAUUCCAUCAGGGAUUUCUCCUGACAUCUGAUUGUCAUUUAGCUCAAUUUUAACCAAAGACGUGGCUCCUGAAAUCUCUUUAGGUAACUCACCUGAUAACCGAUUGAACUCAGCUGACAAUAUCCCAAUCUCUUUUGCAUUCUUGAUAUCAGAUGUAAUUGGACCUUCAAAGCGAUUGUAAGCAAUGUCAAUUAUUUCCACUUGGGGCAAUCCCCAUAUUCCGGCAGGAACUAUGCCUGAAAGCGAGUUGUUGCUGACUCUGAACCGCUUCAUAGUGGCACAACUCGCGUAAGUCGUCGGGAUUUCACCGGUGAAGCGAUUUUGAAGCAUAAGGAGCCCUCUCAUGGUUCCCUUUUUGCACAUAUCUGGAGGAAUUGGACCCGUCAAGAGAUUCUCCGAUACAUCGAUGUAGUCAAAAUCAGCCCAAGAGCCUAGCUUUUGAGGAAGGGGACCAGUCAACAUGUUGGUAUAAAGUGACAGAUUCACCAGCUUCUUGAACUCACCCAACUCGGGCGGUACUCCACCGUUAAACCGGUUCUCAAAGAGCUGCAGGCUCACCAGGUUGGUCAAAAACUUCACUUCCGAGAUAUCCCCUUCGAGAUGGUUGCUCGAGGCAUCAAAAUAUUCCAGGCUUGUCAGAUUUCUCAAUCCAGCAGGAAGUUUUCCGGUGAGUUCAUUGGCGUAAAGCUCCAGCUGCCAGAGCUUGCGAAGUUUUCCAAUCUCCGAUGGAAUAUCACCUGAUAAAUAAUUUAAUUGGAGCUCCAAAUCUUUAAGCUCGGUGAGAUCUCCAAUGGCGGGUGGGAUCUUUCCUUCAAUGCUGCAAUUCGCCAAAUAAAGCCAAUUCAGUUUCUUCAACUUCACGAUUUGAUCCGGAAACGGGGUUCGAUCGAAAGGAUUGUCCCCCAGGCUCAGAACAGUAAGAUUGUUCAUGUUUUCUAGCGAUUUCCAUGGGAAACGACCCGAAAAUCCACUGCCGUUCAAAUAAAGGUACUGCAACUCGCUGAGAGCUGAUAUAUCCGGGAAUGGACCCGAGAAAGGAUUGUUCCCGAGAUCCAAAUAUCUAAGCUUUGAACAGUUAUUCAAAUCCUCGGUGAUCGCACCAUACAAUGAAUUGUGCCCCAUGGAAAGCUUAUCCAAGGAUUCAAGCUGGCAUAUUGAAUCCAAAGGAAGAACGCCCGUCAACUUCUGACUCGAAAGCUCGAUUUCCUUAACCGACCCUCCAGCGUCACAGGUGAUUCCAUUGAAGCUGCAAACGGAACCGGUAGCCGCCCAUGAAUCGAGAACAUCGGUGCUUGAUUUAUUGAGAGCUGAUUUCAACGUCAGCAGUAUUUGAAGUUCAUCGGAUUUUACAUAACAAGGGAAGGUGAAACAGAACAGGAAACAUAGAGAAAGAAAAAUUUGCCGGUGGGAACAGGCGUUGGACAUGCCGGCGAUUUGAAGAAACAGACAAGAAAGGGAAGACCCUUCUUUUGUACAAGUAAACAGAGAAAGAAGAAGAAUUGAAACGAAGAGUGGACUCAAGGUAGUGGCAUUUAAGAAAAAAAGAUGGCUGCUUGGCGUUCACAUUAAUCUGCCAGACCAAGCAAGCAUAGUGACGAACAAGGAAAUUUGCCGGUUUCUAGAGACGAAAGUUGUCAUUAUAUUGAAGGCAGUUUAAUUAUUAUUACAGGGUUGACACGGGACUUCCUUUUUCUUCGUCUGUUUGUAACCGUUAUUGUUUUGUAGUAAAUUUCUUAAAAGAAGUAAAAAGAAAAACAGAACAAUGGGAAAAGCACAUUUGUUCGGAACACAACAAGCUUUUAAGUUUAACCUGUUGUAAAUAUUACAGAAUAACUCAAAAUUUAUUAAUCAAUUAGCAAAAGAGCCAAGAAAGAAAGUCUUGAAUAUGACAUUAUCAGAAGUUAACUCAACCCCUUUUUUUUCUUUUUUAAAGAUUCACUGAUCUCUCAACGUGAUGUUAAAGCAAUUAUAGAUUCAUUGGAUUGUUGUUCUUGCUGAUCCUAUCUUGUUAAAAGGUAAAGGAAGAGGACGUUUUUGUUUUUGUAAUUUAUAUAAUAACCGCAAAGGGAUUGCAGUAAGCAAAUCUGGAGUGACAAUAGUGGGUUUUACUUUCCACUAAUUUAUUUACAAUUAAUUAUGACGUGGAAGACGUGUGGAGUUUCAUGGAGCCGCAGAUGUUGAAUUGUUUCCAGAGAAAAACAUAUAUAUUUUUAUAAUAAUGAUCGUGGACCUACAAAAAGGACAACGUGAAAUCUGAAACGCUCCUGUCGGGCGCGUGGUAAAACAUCUCUCUUUGACCCUAACAAUCAUAUAAAAUCUGAAAGGUCGCUGGUUCGAAGAAGGUUGGUAUAUUUUCCUUUUGGUUCCAAAAAGAAGAUUGAUACAUUGAAUCUCGCGUUCUAGAAGGCAAUAUUUAAAUAUUUUACACGUGCCUUCUUGGUAGGGUAAAUUGUAUACAUGACGAUCCAAGUUUUCAGGCGUUUUCAUUUUCGUCACCGCUUCCACUUUCCCAUACUAGAAUAUGGCGUGUUAAAAUUUAUGAAGAAACAAGUGUGUUCAAAAUAUUGAUAUGGAUCCUAUAAUCCAUUUUAUUGUCCUGAUAAUUUUGUUUACUGCUCUUGCUCAACUCUAUUGUCUUUCUCUUUGUAAAAAAUAAAAAUGGAUAUAUAAUGUGUUAAAUUAAUAUUAAUACGAGAUUACUAUUAAUGAUUAUCUUUUUGAAUACCAUUCAAAACAAAAAUGAUUUGUAGUAGGUGAAGAAAAACAAAGGGUGAAAGUGUAAACCAUGAAAGGUUACUCACAUUUCGCUUUUAAAUAAAGUAUACUUUCUUCUUUUGCCUUUAUUUGAAAAAGGAAAAAAAGAAAAAAACCAUUGAUGAAAAGCUAUGAAUCAUGGUUUAUCGAAGGAUAAAAAGGCAAAAGGACAAUCUAAAAUUAAGCAUUUUAUUCCAUUACCUAAAUAAUAGAAGGGUAAACUACAAAAAUAGUCACUUUUGUUUUCCUCAUAUUAUAUUUUAGUCACUUAUGUGUAAAAUGUUACGCUUUAGUUUUGUUACGAAAUGGUCACUCUACCAUUAAGCUCCAUUACCUCCCUAACGACGGUCCUACGUGGUAGUCCAAAUAGGUUUUAAAUGCCAACUUGGAUGUCCUACGUGGCAGUCUAAACUAAAUUUAUUUAAUUAAAAACCUAUUUUCAUCGACACCCAAGUUGGCAUUUAAAACCCAUUUGGACUGCCACGUAGGACUGUCGUUCAGGAGGUAACGGAGUUUAACGAUAGAGUAAUCACUUUGUAACAAAAUGAUAAUGUAAGUGACUAAAAUGCAACAUUUUAAAUAUAAAUAAUUAAAAUGUAAUAUGAGGCAAACAAAAAUGACUAUUUUUAUAGUUUACCCAUAAUAAAAAUAUAUCACCUUUCGUGUUGUUGUGAAAUUAAGAUUAAAACUUGAUUUUUAUGCCACUAGAUAUAAUCCUAGAUGUCAUUUUAAAAACUUAUCUUUGACAAGUCUUAGUUAUUACCACAAUUCUAGAUUAAAAAAAUAAUUAUAGUGCUUAUCUCUGUCCUCUUUUUCUGGGUAUAAAAAGAAAUAUUAAAAUGCAGUAGUGCUAAGGACAAUUCAGACUUUUUCAUUGGAAUUUCGAGAGAAAGGAAGGAUAUUAAAAUUCAAACAAAUGACAAAGCAUAUAUAGAAGAAUUAAAUUAAACUCUGGUUUCUAGAAAUACCAACUCCCUCCAUUUAAUAUUUAUAUUGCUGUUCAAAGAUUUUAUAUAGCUACCCUCCUCUAUUUAUUCUUAUGGCAGAUGGUGGAUCAUGGUUGUUGGACCCCAAACGACUAGUGUUAUUAGAUAAUUAUCUCAAGGAAUAUUCGUAAGGUAGACUAACCCUAGAAAAUAAUAGGAUCUUCCUUGAUUACCAUUAGCGAAGUUAAUAUAAAAUUUGCAUAAUGAAUUACCUCAAUCUGUAAUUUUGUUCUUGUUAUAUCCUAAUCCAUGGUUUUGAAUUUAAAAAUUUUAGAUUACGAUAUGAUAUUAUAGUUAGCAAUGUUACAUUUUAGAAUGAAAUUAUAGUGUUCAGAUUUCAACAUUUCGACUAUCUCGUAACAUAUGGUGUAAUCUCAUUACAGUUCAUUCAUUAGUUAAUCUUAGAUUACAUGCGUAAUCUUAAAUUUUAGACCAAUUUACUAUUUAUUUUUAUUAUUCUAAUCCAUUUAAUUUUUUUCUUAAAUAAAGUAAACAAAAGAUAUUUUUUGUUUAACCAUUAGAUGUCAUACUUUACAAUUAUAAUUAUUAUAUUUUAUUUAAUAAUUUAUUUAUUAAUAUAUUAAUUAUGGUUACAACUAUAAUUAUGGUUAGUGUUGCAAUCACUUUUCAUGAAUUAUUAUAAUUGUGAUUUAUAAAUUUAUUUCAACAUAAUAUAUUUACUUAUUAAUAUAAAAAUUAUAAUAAAAAGUAAGAAUUGUAAUAAAUGAUCAUAAUUUUAUGGAAGUUAAGACUAGAAAAUGUUAAAGAACUAAACUUGUUAAAAAAACAAAUUUCAUAACGAAAGCAGUUGAGUAAAAUAUGCUUCUUGGUAAUCUUACCUUCGACCUAAGCCUUACAUUACAGUCUAAUGAACCAAAUAAGGUAAUUUACAUUUCUAUAAUUCUACUACGGAACAUAAUCUAAGAUUCGACAAAUCAAACGCUCCUUAAAUUUAGUGUAAAAUAUAUUUAUCCUUCCAUGGAUUCAAAAAUGUCCAUUAAUUUUUUGGUUUAAAAAAAAUCCCAUAAAACAUCUUAUAUUUUAAAUGAAAAAUAAAUAUACUCUUGUUAUUAUUAUUUAUUUAUGUAUUUUUUAUUUCAUUUUUAAAUUUUAAUUAUAAGAUAAUAAAAUUUUAAUUACAUGUUGAAGGACUAUAAAAUUAAUUAUAUUUGACUUUUUCAUAAAUUUAAUUUAAUUUAAUUUCAAUUAAAUCAAGUAUUUCAAAUUUAUAUUUUGUUGAGUAUGCUUCAUAUUUUAGUCAAAUUUGAGAGAUAAUCUCCUAGUUAAACUCUGUUUAUUUGUUUCAAUCGAACUUUGAUUAGUUUAGAUUAUUUUAUUAUUAUUUGACCUACGAAUUUAGCAUAUAAAUAAGCUCUUUUACAACAUUAGAAGAUAUACCCAUUAAAGAUUAGAACUCAAAACACUUUUGGAGAAUUUUGUGUUUACAUUUUGAGGGUUCUUUAUUUUCGGGUUUCGGGGUUUAGGUUUUUAUCUCCAUCUUUUGUACUAUUUGUUCUUUUACCAUUAUAGUAAAAUUAUUUUUACCGGUGGUUUUUAUCAUUUUUGAAGGAGUUUUUUCAUGUUAAAUUUGUGUGUUCAAUUUCUCAAUUUCUUCUACUAUUUUUUAAUUGUUCGUUGCUUAAUUGGGUCGAUCCUCAAUAAGUGGUAUUAGAGCUAGUUCAAUUUUCGUAGAUCAGCUCGUUUGGAGAUGGAAAUAACAAUGUUUAACAUUGAGAAGUUCGAUGGGUCACAAAAUCUGUGGCAAGUUCGAAUGAUGACAAAUCUAGUUCAGACCGGCCUAAAAAAGGUCAUUACCAGAAAAAAGCCUGAGAAUCUAGAUUAGACAGAAUGGGAAACACUUGAUGAAAAUGCCCUAUUUGCAACACAGUUGUGCCUCGCGAAUAGGGUAUUGCAGGAGGUAUUGAUGGAGAAAACUUCAUCCGCCUUAUGGAAAAGGUCAAAAACUCUUUAUGCAACUAAAUUUUUGGCUAACCGUUUAGUGUUGAAACAACGUCUAUUUACGUUUCGCAUGUACGAAGGUGAGUUUCUUAGAGAUCACAUUAGUCAAUUUAUUAAUCUUUUGAAUGAUUUAAAAAAUAUUGAGGUUAAGAUUGACAAUGAGGAUUAGAUUAUGCUAUUAUUGUGUUCUUUAUCCUCUUCAUACAAGUUUUCCAGAGAGACCCUGAUUUAUGAUGGAGACAAACUCUCAUUCGAGGAUGUGAAUGGUCAUUUGUUGAGGAAAAACAAACUCGACAAUGAGUUUGGCUCGGAUCGCAAGGCAGAUAAGCAAGCUUUCAUUUUGGUAUCAUCAAAUAAGCGAGACAAAAUGUGUCGCUAUUGUAAAAAGUUAGGUCACAUCAAAGCAGAUUGUCAUAAAUUGUGAAAUAAAAGGGCUGCUGAAAGUAACGAGGAAAAUGUAGCUAGUGCUAAUUUAGCUGACGAAAGUGGUGAUGAUUUAUUGUUAGUGUCAACGAGCAAUAGCUCCAAGCUUACGUCCAACUGGAUCCUAGAUUCGGAAUGUUCUUUCCACAUGUGUCCCAACAGAUAAUGGUUCUCUCUAUACAGUUCGAUUGAAGGUGGAGUUAUGCGCAUGAGAAAUGAUUCAUCCAGUAAGGUAAUCGGUAUUAGUACUGUUAAAAUUAGGAUGCACGAUGGGACGAUUAGGACACUCUCAAACGUCAGGUAUGUAUUUGGUUUACGAAAUAAUCUCAUUUUCUUAAGUAUUUUAGACUCGAAAGGUUGCACAAUCAACAUCGAGUCGAGUGGCAUUAAGGUGUCUCAUGGGAUCUUAUUUUGUUAAAAGGUAAAAAGACCGACAGUCUUUAUAUUCUGGAAGGUUCUACAGUGACCGAUGAAACCAGACGUCCCUCGUCCGUUACAGUGUCGAAGUCAACUCGUUUGGAGCAGAGACAACUUGGUCAUAGGAGAGAAAAAUGCAUGACCGUUUCGUUGAAGAGAGGUUCUCUUUUGGAUGCAAGUUUUGAAAAGUUAGGGCACUGUGUUUGUGAAAAUCAGACCUGGGUUAGUUUUGAUUUGGCAGUGCACAAGUCGAAGGCUAGAAGUCUUCCAGCUUCUAAGCACAAAUUUGACUCAGUUAAUUCUCUGCAUAGUUCAAGAUAAGCCCAUGGCGGGAUUUGGCAAAGAUGGCAUUGUGGAAAUACGAGUCAAUGUGGAGAUUUGUUGAGUAUGCCUCAUAUUUCAAUUAAAUUUGAAAGAUAUUCUCUCAGUUAAACUUUGUUUAUUUGUUUCAGUCGAACUCUGAUUAGUUUAGAUUAUUUUAUUAUUAUUUGACCUACGAAUUUAGCAUAUAAAUAGGCUCUUUUACAAUAUUAGAAAAUACACCUAUUAAAUAUUAGAACUCAUAACACUUUUGGAGAAUUUUAUAUUUACAUUUUGAGGAUUCUUUGUUUUUUGGUUUCGGACUUUAGUUUUUUAUCUUCAUCUUUUGUACUAUUCGUUCUUUUGUCAUUAUAGUAAAAUUAUUUUUGCUCGUGAUUUUUUAUCCUCUUUGAAGGGGUUUUUCACGUUAAAUUUGUGUUUAAUUUCUCAAUUUCUUUCGCUAUUUUUUUACUUAUUCGUUGCUUAAUCAGGUCGAUCCCCAACAUAUUUUAUUUAAACUUAAAAUGAUUUAAAUUAUUUUAUGUAAAUUUUUAGUUCUAAAUUAGUUCUCCUCAUGUCAAGUGUUACCAUUAAUUGGUUGAGAUAUUAGUAAAUUGAGUUUAAUAAUAGUGUGUUUCCCAUUAGUUGUAUAUAAAUUUUUUUUAUGUAAAUUAAAUUUGUUAACAAUAAUAUAAUUAAAAUUUUAUAUUUAUCAUUUAAUCUAAUAAAUGAUUCACAUGAUAAAUUUCUCUUCUAAUUGUUAUGUUUAAUGCUUUAGUCGUAUUGUAAUAGUUGUUGAUUGAUUUUUUUUAAAAUUGCAUUUUUUUAUUGUAUAAAAAUAAAUUAAUAUAUUUUAAUUAAUCAAUACAAUCAAUUCAUACAAUGCAAGGGUAUAUAAACUAAUAUAUUAUAUACGAGGUAUACACACAUUUAUGAAUGUUUUCUUAUGUGAAUCAGGGGCGUAGUUAAAAGGGUUGAUAAUGACCCCGUCCCAUCCCCAAAAAAAAAUAGAAAAAUUUUCAUCUAGGUUUUUAAAUUUCUUUUAAAAUUUUAAAUUGAUAAAGGUAAAAUUGUAUUUUGGCCUCCUAAAAAUGAUAAAAAUUUGAUUUAAUCUUUUAAAAGUUAUAAAGAUAUAGGCUAUUCAAAUAAUAAAAUUACAUUUUUGAUAUCGUAAAAAUUAAAAUUUAAUUUUGACUCCCUCUAAAAUUUUUUUUCUACCUUUACCCUUGAUAUGGAGUAUUUCAUAUUAGGGUAAGUGACACAUUUUAUGAUUGACUAGUAAACAUUUUGACUAUAAGUAUGAUAUGAGUCCCAAUUUUUUAAUUGAUUUUUUGUUAAAAAAGAUUUUUUUAUUAAUAUAUUAUGUGAAAGUUAUUCAAUUUACACUUUUUAACUUUUACAUUUAAAAAAUUAUUCAAUGUGUAACUGUGAAUAUCAAAAUUAAAAUAAAUUUGAUAAAAACUACUUAAAAUAAAAAAAAGAGUUAAAAAUAAAUUUUGAUACUUCUUUAACAUAUAUAAAAUGUGCAAUAUUUAAAAUUUUAUUGUAUACAUGCAAUAAUCCUAUACAAUGCACGAGUAAAAAAAAUACAUAUUAUAUAUAUAUUUUUUAUUCUUAUCAUGAGUGUAUUAUAAUUUUAUAUUUUUUAUGAAAAAAAAUCAUCUAUUAGUUGGAGACGCAUAUUUUUCCACAUAUGGUACUUGAAUUGCUACCCCAAGUUUGAUGUUGUUCGAACGUGUUCCAUCAAACUCUAUGUUUUCCACACUUAGAUCUUUGAAUGUUGCUAUCUAUCUUAAAAAAAUUUAUAAAAAAAAAAAAACUAUUCAACCUCAAUAUUCCACCAAAAUUCGAACAUAAAUAAAAAAAAAUUCUAAAAUUAUACUCAAUUAAAUUACCAUCUUUUUAUUAAAUUAUGCACCUUGUUUAUUCCUCCUUCUUUUUCUGUCUUAUCUUGGAAUAUAUGUUUUAAUUUCAUUGUCGGCUAUUUUUAUGUUUUACUUGAUGAAAGAACAGAAAAAUAGGAAGAUAAAGAGAUGUGCGCCAUUUUUCUUUCUAUCGAUAUGUUCGGUAAAAGGAUGAAAAUAUUGAAAGAAUAUAAAAAGGUUAGAGUAUGAUAAAAUAUUAAAAGAAAUGGGACACACGAAAAUUUCUUAACUCUACUUACAAUUUUGUCCUUUUCUUAUUACUUAAAUUUGAAAUUAUUUAUUUUUAUGCAUUAAGAUAAAAAAUAACGAUAUUUGUUUUAUUUUUCCUCUUAUUUUUCAAUCCUAAUAAACACAUUCAAAAUGAUUUUCUUUUCAUUCUUUCAAUUUUCCUUUUUCCUUUUAUUAGGGAAGCCUCUGUAGUUAGGGAAAUUUUGCAUUUCAGUCUCUCUAUAAAAAAAUAGGUAAAUUAAUCAUUAUACAUUUCCAAACGUACAAAUUAGUCCAUCCAUUAAAUGAUGAUGUGGAAUGUUUGUAAUGGCUUAAAGAUUAAACCUUCUUAGGGUAUUAAACAAUAAGAUCUUCAAAUGAGAAAAUUUGUAAUAGUUAAGAGGAUGCGAAAAUGAAUAAUCAAAAUUUUAUAAUGAUGAUUACACACCAUCAAAAAAUACGAAAGUGAGUAUUCACUAAAGUAGAAAAAAGUAAACAUUAAAUAAUAUUUUAUGUACCUUUUAGUUGAAAGCAUGAAAAAUUUGAAAGUGACUAAACAAAACUUUUAGUCGAUCUGUUUUUUUGCUUCAAUCAAGUUUUUUUUUUUUUUUGGUUUCAAUCAAGUAUGAGAAAUCAUUUUGAUUUUUCUGGGUUUUGUAAAAUAAGGAAGAAAAUCUUGUAAAAGAGUGUGGUUUUUGAGUUUCGAUUCAAAAGUUUGAUGAAUUUUUUAAUAUUUUCUUAAAAAUAUUUUAGAAUUUUUUACAUAUACAUUUUGAAAUUUUAGAAAAUUUUUAUUUAUAAUUUUAUUUUUAAAAAUAUUUUAACAUAAUUUUAAUAUUUUAAGUAUUUUAUAUUUAUUUUUAAUUUUUUAGAAUUAUUAUUAAGAAAUAUUUUAAAAAAUUAAAAUAAUAUUUUAGUUAUAAUUUAGAGACGAAUUAAUAAUUAAUCAUUUAAAUUAACUUAAUUCCACAUCAUUAUUUAACAGAAAAAUAAUUAUAAUAUUAGUUGAAUUGAGUGAUAAAAAUUUUGAUAUAUUUUAAGUAGAAAAUAAUGAUACAGAUAUAAUUUUUCUCCAUAUUUAAUUAAACUUUUUGUGGCUUUCGGAUACCAAAAUUAAAAACAAAAAAGAAAAACUAUCUCACUUGAAAACUGGGACUGUUAAAUGAUGCAGACAAUCAUUCAAUCUCUAUAUGAACAAAAAAAAAAAAAAGGAAAAAUCCAACCUACUAAUAUUUAAUUGAAGAGAUUCUAGUGUUUAAUCAAGCUCAAAACAUAGCAACAAAGCUUGAAAGAUCAAACCUUCUUUUUUCUUCUUUUGGAUUGCCUUUGAUUAAGAGUUGGAAUUAAAUAAGGAAAAAGCACAAAAAUCCAAGAUGAUCAUUCUGAAAAUGCAGCAUGUACAGACACAUCAACAAUGAUCACAACUCAAAAGUGAGAAGUGUGGAUCCAAAUUUUGGAUUCCUUUUUCGCACGUCCACCUGUCCCCCAUCUCUUAGAUCGGAAUCAUAAUCCACUCCCAUCACUUUUUCAUAUGCCUUUAUGAUCAAAUUUUAAUAAUACUAAUGGAAUAUAUAAAAUAAAAUUUAAUAUGAUAUUUGAUAUCAAAUAAUAUUUAAAUAUAUAAAAAAAUUGAUUAAAGGUUUUUGUGCUAUGUGUUUUCUUUAUUAUUAUUAUUAUUAUUAUUAUUAUUAUUUACUCUUUAUUUUUAAAAUAUGUAUUUUUAAUCAUGAGAUCGUUUUUUCAUGACAAUUUUGUCAAAUAAUUUGACCUUAUUUGUUUUUUAAAAAUGUAAUGAUGUGGCACAUACCCUUUUCUAAUUCUUUUAUGUUGUUAAACAUAUAUCUUCUCUCAAUGUUGUAAAAAUUAGUUAGUGAUUUUAGUUUUGAGUUCAAUCGGUUCAAUCAUAUAAAAUAAAAUUUUUAAAAAAAUCAUAAAAAUAGAAAACAUAGAUAGAAAUAUAAAUGUUUAUUUUAUAAAUUAUAAAAACCAAAUCAAAUAUUUAAAUCAACUUAAAUUCGGUUAAAGAUAUUUAAUAUUUUUGCCUUAUUUUAUAGUAUCAAUUGAACAUGUUGAACUACCAAUUUUUAAUUCAACCAACUAAUCCGGUCUAAUUCUGAUAAUAAUGCACAUUUUUUUCGCACCUCUUUUUAAUUUAUUUAGAUGUGUAAAAAAGAAAAAAGAAUUAUGCAGUCGUACAAAAAAAAGUCUAAGUGCAUAUACCAAUCUAUUACAUGUUAAAAAAAACCAAGUCGAUUGAGUCUUAAUUCGAUUUGUGUCAGUAUUGUUGCCAAUAUAAAAUGAUAUGAAUUAGAGUGUAUUGAAUCACAUUAUCCUUUCAUUUAAGGGUUGACCGUUGGGGAAGGGCUAUGAAUAGUUCUAAGCAUUGUAUUAAAAAAAUAGAUAUGAUAAAAACUAAUAUGAAAUUAAUGUUUAAAAAAAACAUAUCAAUUUUUUGACAAAAUUAACUAAAAAAAUCUUAUAAAGUAAAAAUACAAUUUGAAAAGAUAAAGAUAAAAAUAAAAAUAAUUAAAUUAUAAUAAAAUAAUAAUAAAUUCACUUAAAGCACAUAUUUAAUCUAAAACAAGAUUUAUAAUGGAAGAAGAAAACAAAAGAAAUAGGUGGAGUCGACCUGGCUAAUGCCUUAUUGAUUGUGAAAUGAUUCAUGGGUCCAUUUAUUAUUGAUACCAUGUAUAAAAUUAUAAAAUAUAGACAAUAAUUGAAGUGCAUGUUGUGUCAUAAAGUUAUAACCCAUCACUUGUUGCUUAGAUCUUAUUUGUUUAUCAAAUUAUUUUUCCUACUCACCAACCCACUUGAUUUUUACAACUUUGACCACCCCAUUCAUCCCUCCACUUUCCCAACUUCCUUUUUCUUUGUAUUUUUUGGAUAAGAAACUUUCCCAACUUUCACUUUUACUUUGCCCUAUCCCCCCCCCUUCCUUUAGCAUUUAUUUAAAGCUGCUUUAAUCAAUUAUUCAAAAGUACCACAAGAUUUAUCUUGUUGAAGAACUCCCAAUGGCCAAUACCUCAUUAGGUGGCACAUCGAAAAUUUGUAAGCUUGACUUCCAAGUUCGGCAGAGCUUAGCCAAAAGGUCCACAAUUAAAUUUCUCUCUCUGGGCACAUAUCUGACCUGCCACUGUCCUUCAGAACGCAUAAUCUUUUGAGCUCGUUUAAGUACUGUGAUACUUGAAUCUUCCAACCCUUAUCAAUCAAGGCUUUAGUCACAUUUGAAUUAUCUAUCUGAACUGUGGCCCGUUUGUAACUUCUAUUUAACAGAAUGAGGAUCCCAUCCAGUAUACCCCAUAAUUUCGCCUCGAAAAGAGUAUAACUAUCCAGAUAGUGAUUAUAUCUCAAAAUCUAGUUGCGUGCCUCACAAAAUAAAAUAUUAAUCAUGAUAAUUUUGAAGGUUGAAAUUUGGUUGAUAUAGUCGUUUAUGAAUUAUUAUUAAUCCAACAUUCUUCACCCUUUAAUUUUAGUGAUCUUAUCUCUUAAAACAUCAUUAUCUAUGGGUUAGAUCCAUUUUAUUAGAAUACAUAAUGAAGAAAUUUGUACAUCGAUUAUGUUAGAUUUGACCAAGAAAAUGGUGUAAAGGUACAACUUGUUACAAUAAAUGUAUAGUAAUAAUUGUCACUAUCUAGGCUUAACUAUUCCAUUCAGAUUCUUAUAGUCCACUACUGCUUCGUCAACAUUCAAUCUUUCAACAUGUUUUUGAAAAUGACCUGCAAACUACAAAUUAAUCCUCCCAUCCCAAUCUCUCUCCUCUCAUUAGUUAUUUAUAAUAAUUUCUACAUGCAUCCAUUAAAUAUUUACAAGUUUAUUGUAUAAUGUCAUAUUGCAUUUUUAAGUUGAAUAUAUAAAGAAAAAUGGUGAUUUCAAAAUAUUAGAAUAGGACGAGGUAAGUAAAUAUCAUAAUUGCUCUGUAUCUGUCAUUUAAAAAAAUGUCUCUAUUAUUCAAAAUUUUUUCCCUUCAUUCGGAGUAAAUCAAUUUGAAAUUCAUCAAAUUUUAUCAUCCAUCAAUAUUCAAGCAUAUAGUUGGAUAGAAGGAACUAUGUUAGUACUAGUUAUAAUCGUCAACUUCAACAACAGUUGGCAGAACAUUAUAACUUGCAUUAUUUGAUUGACAUGUUUUUGACCAAAUAUGUUGGAUCUUUAAUCUUUUAUCUUUAUGUGCAAAAAUCAAGCCAAGCAAUGAUUUUGUUCAAUCUUUCGAUACAAUUGAAAAUACCUUAAUUAUAAUAUAUGGCUUUCAGUGAGUUUGAUGACAAGAUCUCUGACGAAUAUACAAUUUAUAGAAAUCUUUUUUAAGUGACUAUUUUAGUGGAAGUAGUGAUUGAUAUUGAUUGUAAUUGAACAAGUCUUUUUUUUUUUGUAUGUACAAUGAAUGACUUAUUUAUGUUAAGAUGUAUGAAUUAGAGAACACUUUAUCUGUUUAAUUAAUAACUGUUUCAAUGGGAGAAAUUGUGAGUAAACAAAAUUGUGCUUAUCAGUUUACAUCUAGCUUUUCGUGGGGGGGGGGGGACUUUGAGAGAAAGUGAUCUAGUUGUAACUUGACUAGUGAAUUGAACUUUAAUCACAAUUUAUGCUUGUGAUUGUUCUCUAGGUAAGACCCUGCAAACAUAUAAAUAAGAAAUAUGUUAAUUUUUUUUCCAUUAUGUUAAAGUUAAAAUGCUAUUUCAUCAAAAUUCAGUUUAUGUCAAGUUGUAUGAUAUUUUAGGUUGGAAUUUAUGAAGAUGCACUUUAGUGUGAUAAAACCAUAAAAAUAUAAUUUCAAAUUAUGUUAUUAUUAUACAACCCAGUGAAUUAAAUCAAAUUAUGACAUGCAAAAUUUAAUCUUUUUUUAAAAAUUAUAAAAAUUUUAGAUUGAAAAUUUUAAAAUCUCAUAUGGAUGUUUAAACUCAUCAAACCUUAAUAUUGAUCUUAAAUUCAAUUCUAAAAUCAUGAAUCUCUCUGACCCAUUAUUCUAAUUUCAAAAUUGGGACCAUGAUCCCCCUACAAGUAAGCAGAAAUCUAUGAACUUUUGGGUGCUUCAGUUAAUAGAACUACCUACUCGUAUAAUUAUGAUCACUUUUGAAAUUAUCUUCUGUGAGUUUUUCUUCUUCCUAAAGAUUAACAAGGAUCAAACUUGCCACUGAAAUUUUAACUGGAUUAGUAAAGAUUGGAGUUUUAUCAUAUGUAUAAAUUAUUGUAAAAUUUAGGUUUUGCUAUGUGGGAUCAUGUUCAUAUAUAUUUUAAUUUUCAAUCAGUAUAAUUUAUUUAAUUUGUAAUUUUGAUUUUAAACUCUUGAAGAAAAGAAUAAAUAAGAUUAGGAGAUCCAUCCGGGCUUAAAUCUUGAAACCCAAAAUAUUUGGGCUGAAAUUAAUUUGAUCCGAGCGUAGCUGAGAUUAACCCACCAACUAGCAGAUAGGCCAUAGCUCCUUUUACGCUUCUUUCGAGCCCAUUAGAAUCACUGUCGAGGACAUGGGCCUAGAGCUUCUCGAAACAUACCAUUUGCUUCAGUUUCCCUUUAUGAAAGUUUGUAAUAAAUUGUUGGCUAAGUUGAUAUGAAUUGAGACAAGCAGAAAUACUUGUCAUCAAAUAUCAAAUUACAAAGUAAUCAAAACUUGCAAAUCCCAGAAUUGAUCACACUUAUUCAACUAAACAUUUAUCACUUCAAUUACUGACAAAAGUACUACUGACAAAAGUAAUUGAUGGCAGACUCGAUUUCUGCUAUAGCACGAAAUACUAUACUGAUAAAAUGAUUGAAAAAAAAAUUCCAGGACAUUCCCAGCCUUUUAUUAUCAUCCCAAUCACGUUGCUGCUCUCUCUUGGUCUUUCUGCAAACCCCAUUUCCUUACAGCAAGCUGAAACUCGGCCGAGGCAGCUAGGAACUUCACUGUCUGGACUGGACUCAGUGUCUGAAGCAACUUCCUAACAGUCGAUCCUCGUAGUUUAUCGGCGCUCUCCAGUGCCCUUAGCAUAUCCUCCUUCAGCUUCCUCACUGCCGACUCAAGUUCCAAUUCCUCGCCAUCAACCGCUCUCCCACAACGCCUAACCAGGUUCAGCAGCGGAAGGGCUGCCAAGCUCUCUUGAAUCGCCGCCGAUGCCUGCGUCAACUCUCGUUCUUCCUUUCUUGUCUCGCAUUUAACUCGCUCGAUGGCUUGUUCCUGUUCUAGGGUAAACUCUGUUACUGAGUUGGUCAGUAUUUUGAACAGUAUGAAUGGCUUGAAUCCACCAACCCAGAGUUGAGCUUUCUCGAAAGAUGUUAACCAUGGGGGAGAGUAGAAGAGGAGCACUUGUUCCCUCGCUGCCUUGAAUUUCUCUGCUGAGUACUGGUCGUAGUGGGACAGCACUUCUUGAAUCAAAUCCCCACGCCGCUCAAUUUCCUCUUCAUCUUGGGAUCUCAGUGCUUGAACCAGUUGUUCAAGGAAUCUUUCUUGACGGACCAGCCAGCCAUUGAAGAAAGCUCCAAAAUUCUCAACAAUGCUUGAAGUUGAACCAUUUCCAUCCGCCAUAGCCCGUCAAUAUUUGGCUAAAGCAGUAAUUUAAGUGAAUGUUACAGUGUAAAGAGAGGGGUUUUUUAUAUACAGUUCUAGAAAUACCACUUACCAACUGUCAUUUGAUUUUGCUAGAAUUUUAAAUUAGUUCUCUUUACUUGUUCCUUUCUUCCACGAAGGAGUCAAUGAUCUUUGAAUUUUUCUUAAAGGUUAAGAUUUGCAGAUUAAAAAUAAAAAUAGAAACUUAAAAGAGAAUGAAGCAACAAAGCUUUCAGCUUUUUUAUUUUUUCUUUUCCUUACAUGCAAAGGUGUUGGAAUUAUGUUGAUUUUGUGAGAAUGACAUUUUGCUUAAUAUCAAAGGAGCAAAAAGAAAAAAAAAAAGAAAAAAACAAUAGACAAAAUGGUAUGGCGGUGAAGGCUUUCUGCAAAUAUCCAGAUAGACAGAACCCAUUGUUUUAAAAAAAAAAAAAAUCAAAACAACAACAUCAUCAUUAUCAUGUUUGUGGAACAUUGGAGAAUUUAAAAGAAGUCAACUAAGACGCGGGUUUGACGCCGAACAGGUUGUUUAUAGAGUAUCAUGUCAAUCUUAUUAAAUGCAUUGCAGCCCUUACGAACACUAGAUUACAAGAGUGGCCUUUUUCCAGGAAAUGGGCUUUGUUUAUUCAUAUGAAGAGCAAAGGGCUUUGUGUUGGCCCAGAGAAGGAAAUGUCAGGGCCAGAGUAGCCUACGAUGAUUUUCUCUUUUGUUUUGUGAUGGCAAAUAAAACAUUUGGCGCGCAGAAAAACAUGGAGUUUCAUUGUGACGGGAAAACCCGCCGACUCAUAUGAAAAGGAUUUAACAUUUUGUGCCGCCUUGGUACGUAUUUAACAUGGGCAGCUUACCUUAUCUGUGUUUGUUGUCUUAAAGUGUAACUGAGAAUGUGGGAGGCUUUUGUCGUCCAACGUCUACGAGGUUAGCUCAGCGGCCAUCAUUUUGCUUAAAGCUUGGUUACUUGAUUUUUCUCUACCCAUCUUUUUCUUUUAUAAAUUACGUCUUAUGAUAUCUUAUCCUAGGUGGUGUUGCCAUAAUUUAUAGGCUUCUGGGAGGAGGAAAUGAUGCAAGUAAUUUCCAAAAUUAUAAUUUUAGAGAAAAGAAGAACACGAAAAACACCAGAUAGGGAGAACAAUCUGGAUAGCUUACCAUCUAGUUUUCUCUCUAUUUCAUUUGGAAAUGUCUAUUAUAUUACAAAGGAAAUAACACUUACACCAACUUCGGUUAGGUACAAUAUCCACCCUUAUACGUUAAUGCUACGUUUGAUUAGAAAAGAAAACACUUAUUUAAUAUAUCUCUUGAAAUAGCUAGACAUAAAAUAAAAAGUAAUUAGUACAAAUUUAAAUAUGCAAUUAGAAAUAUGAGUACAUUUUUUUUUGUAAAAGGACCUAUUCAAAAUAAGCGACAAAUUUUCCUUUUCUUUGCCACAAAUAAGUCAUGUUAGUGGCUAACAAUUACCGGUUGCGAGUAGCAUAUAGCUAAUUAAUGACUAAAACAUGCGGAAAAAAUAAUACUCCAAUAAAACAUAACAUUACAGUUCAUAUAAUAUUCUUUACAUCAUAUAAAAUAAUAGGCUAAUUAUGCAACACCGUUACAACAAUUCAAGGUAAUGAGUAUUAGAAUCAAAGAAUUGAAGAAUACUCCUGCAACAAAUACUCCCUUCAUCUCAAGGAUGAACUCGAGGAAAUUUUUGUUCAGGCUCAUGCAAAGUCUUUUACGUAGAAUCCUCAAGAAACGUGUUAGUCCAUUGCGCCAACAUUUGUGUGAUCGCACUAUUACCUUUUUUGACAAUUCUCUUAUUCAAAAUCUUGUCAAAUUUUUUCACCAUUGUUCCAUUUGCCCCCCCUAAACAUGUACGGUUGCUUGUAUCAGUGCUUUGCCCACUUGCUUCUUAAAGUGCAACAUGUGGAAAGUAAGGUUUACCUUUCACCUAAGUGGUAGCAACAACUUAUAUGCCCCCUUUCCCAUCUUAGGUGCAACAUAGAAUUGUUCAUAAUACUCAACAAUUAGCUUCUGAAAGAUUCAUGUUUCACUGAAUUUUGCUUAUAUGGUUAUAAUUUCAAAUUAAUCAGAUUUCCUGCCUCAAACUCUCUCUCAAUUCUCUUCUUAUCAAUCAUUACUUCCAUUUUCUUGAGUUCUUUGCAAAUGGAAUAUCAAGUCUAGUUAGCAACUUCCCUCUGUUGCAUGCUUCUAUCUACUAAAUCCACAACUAACUAUCCUACCAUAUAAGGUAAAUGGAUGAGUGGUGCUUAGCCAUAAAGACCCUGGUAAGGAGUAGUGUGAACAUAUGAAUGGUAGGAAGUGUUGUAACAUCAUUUAACUAGAGCCAAACCAAUAACUCCAAUCAUUGGGCUUUUCACAAAUCAUGUAACAUAGAUAUCCCUCCAAACAAUGCUUAACUGCAUCUAUCUGACCAGUUGUCUAUGGAUGAUAAGCUAUUGAAAGUUCUGCAAGUUCCUAGCCUUUUAAAAAGUUAUUUUAGAAGGAAUUUAUAAAAACUCUAUCUUUGUUUGUGGCAAUGUUAUCAAGCAUACAAUGUAACCUUAAAAAAUGGGAAAAAGAUUUUGGUGCAACAACCAAACCAAAGAAAGGGUAACAUACUUAGCUUAUCGCUACCAUAAAAAAUGUGUCUUUACCUUUAGAAUUAAGAAUACCUUCUAAAAAACCAUACUAAUCUCAACCCAAGCCCUUGUUGGAAUAGGUUAGAGUUGUAGUAAACCUACCUUAGUUGUAUUGUCAGUCUUACACCUUUAACACUCCAUACAUUCUCUUUCUCAGUGGCUCACAACCUUCUACAAACUUUUUUUAAUAUAAUACACCAACUAAUUUACCGGCAGUCACUUGAGCACUUGAAUGCCUCCAUCAGAUUAUUAUGGAAAUAUUUCAAGAUUUCUUUUUGAAGUGCAAGUUCAUUACCCACCAGAAUCUUACCCUUUAAUUUCUCUCCAACUACUUGCCAUCCCAUAAUAUAUAGGAUGCAAUGCAAUAUUCUCUUCAAGCUCAACUAUUAAUUUUUGAAGCAUAAAACCCUUAUGCUAAGAUGCACUAAUUUUAGCCAUUAGAUUGAUGGUCAUUGUAAACAUUUGAAGACGUUGUGGAUUGCUAAAAUUAGGAUUCCCUAAAAGCACACAAGCCAUUAUAUUACUGGCUUCUUUCUUAUAAAUUAUUUCAAAACAAUAUUCUAGCAUUUUAGUCACUCAUAACUAAUAUAGAGUAGUGGCCUAAAUGUUGGAUAAAAAAUACAAAGUCUUAUGAUAAAUUCUAAUUUUUUUCAUGUGUCCACUUACCAAAUAAAGGCUCCAUUUCUAUGUUGCCAAUUGAACAACUAUCAUUUCUUGAUCAUAAAUGAAUAAGGCUUGGGGCUUAGGGGCCAAAGCCUUACUAAAUAAACUAAGGGCAAUCCUUUUUUAGUAGACUUCUAUCCAUUGCAAAAUAUUCUCAAAGCCUGGUACACUACAACCAAGUGUCUAUAAACAAAGCUAGCUUUAGCACCUUAAAUGCUCGUGUUGCAUUAUCAAUCCACUGCCAUACUUGUUGGUGAAUGGGUGCAUGAGAUGAAAAUAAACUUAUGAAAAAUUAAUUGAAGGGUUCAAGGCGUGUAACCACACUGUUAUUUUUAAGGUUCUAUUCGCCCUUACCUAAACUUUGGUGUGCAAAAGAGUUUAUUGCAAAUGAACCGCAAUGAUAAAAUGAAGCCUAAUGACUUUCGGUGUCUUACGCUGUAAUAGCCUGAAUUUUUAGUGGUGUCAGAAUGGUGAUUCGAGAUCACUAAAUCUGACAAAUGAGUAGAAAUAUUAUUAAUUUAGUAAGAAUAAGUAAAUGUGAAGUUAGGAAAAUUUUGAAAUAGUGAAUAGUGUAUUAGGAAUAAAUAUUGAAAUAAUUAAAAUAAAAAAUGAGGUCUCGAGACCUCGAAGAUUUUAAACCGAGCCAUAAAUAUUUUUUAGAAAUUUUAUAGAUGUCAUUGAGUUGGUAUUAAAGUUUCGUUAGAAAAUUUUAACGUUCAGAUAGUCAAUUAACUAAAAAGGACUAAAUUGAAAAUAGUGUAAAAUUUGUUAAAUUGUGAUUAAAUAGCUUAAGUGACUAAAAAGGAGGGAUUUAAAAGGCAAUUAGGCCCAAAUUAUAUGGGCUGGACGGUUGAGCAAGAAAAAAAUCUGGAAAAGUGAUGUAAUAAGGGUAAAAUUGGAAAUUUUGUAAAACUGAACAAAUAAAAAUCUCAAUUAAAAGAGUUUCUAGGUAAUUCUUCAUAAUUAUCAGCCAAAAAACGCCAUUGAAGAGUCCCUCCAAGCUGGUUUUUCAUAUAUUUGAAUCAUGUAAGUUUAAUUCUUGAUUAUUUCUACUAGAUUUUGGGGUUUUGAUACUUUUACAAUUAGGUCCAACUAAUUAUUUCAUUAGUUAUUGAUUUUAUGGCUGAUUUUGAAAGUUACCAUUGAUGAGUACUGAAUUUUUAUGAUGAAUAAACAUUGAAUUAAAGCUUUAAUUUUGUUAUAUGAUGAUUCUAUUAAGUAAUUUUGAUAGAAAUUGAUUUUAGGGACCUAAUUGUGAAAAAGUUUGGAAUUAGGGUUUGGUGUUGCGGUUUUGAAUAUUAAAGGAUAUGUAGUAGUCUAAAAUAGUUGGACAAGGUGUCAAUUGAGAAAAAUUAGAUCAAUUGAGGGGUUAAUUGAGUAGGGACCAAAUUGUAAAAACUGUAAAGUUUGGGGUAAAAGUGUAAUUUCGAAAAUUUAAGGGCAUAAAUUGUGAAAUGAAUUAGAAUAGAAUUAUAUGCUGAUGAAUGAAUAAAUUUGUAUUUUAGAUCGAGAACCCGAAGCAAGCCGAGGAAAAGAAAAAGUAGUUGAUUAGUCCCUGAACUUUUACAAAUUUUGCAAAUCGACCCAGGUAAGUUCAUAUGGCUGAAAUUUAAUGAUUAAAUGUUAAUUUCAUGAAUUAUAUAAUGUAUGAUGAAAUGUAUUUAUUGUUGAAAUGAGAGUAAAAUAAAAAUGUGAAAAUCGAAUAAAUGAUCAAAUUAAGCAGAACGCCGGAUUUGAGUACUUCUGAUCAAGAGAUAAAGUGAUAAGUGGUAGCUUUAGCUACACUUAUCUGAUCAAGUGACAAAGUGAUAAGUGCUACACUUAUCUGAUCAAGAGACAAAGUGAUAAGUGGUAGCUUUAACUACACUUAUCUGAUCAAGUGAAAAAGUGAUAAGUGCUAUAAUUAUCCGAUCAAGUGAAAAAGUGAUAAGUGCUAUACUUAUUUGAUCAAGUGACAAAGUGAUAAGUGGUAGCUUAGCUACACUUAUCUGAUCAGGGACAAAUGAUAAGUGAUCAUACAUAAGACUAUAGUUAUACUAUGGCAAAGUGAAAGUGAAGUACUCAAUUUUCCGUAACCGUUCAUUAAUUUUGAUCAAGGAUGGUAAGUGACAAAUGGGCCCAAAGGAAUUAUGGUGAAAGAAUAAGUAGUAGUGAGUUUAUACCAAGGAACUCACCAAAGAUUGUGGUUGACAGGUAAACUUAGUAAUGGUGUAUAUUGUAUAAGUGUAUAAAUGUUUGGUAAGAUUUAUGUUUGUGCCUAUGAACUUACUAAGCUUUCUAUAAGCUUACAUGUGUGUGUUUAUUGUUUUUGUAGAUUAACGUAUUUAUACAUUCGGAGGAUCGGAUCUACAUCGAGAAUCACACUAUCCAGAUUUACUCCGGUAGAUUUUGUUAAACAAGUUUUUGGAUUUUUAUGGCAUGUAUAAGGAAUUGAAGUAAAAAGCAAUAGAAUGAAUGACUAAGUACGCAAAGUAAAUUUGAAUGUGAUGGUUGUGUUAGAUAUUGAAAAAUACAUGUUUUUAGUUUGAAAUGGUUGAUUGGUUGAACUUCAUUAGUAUUCAAGUGAAGUAGUUGAAAUACUGGAAUUGGUUGUGUAACACCCCUUACCCGAGACCGUCGCCGGAAUCGAGUACGAGAUGUUAUCCAAUUUAACUUACCAAUUCGGAGCAUAAAAAAAAAUUGCUUUUAAAAUUAAAUUCACUGUUCACAACAAAACUGUCUACCUGCGUGACUUUCACUAAUUUAAUUAUAACUCGAGUUACAGAACUCAAAAUUUAAAUCCGUAAAUUUUCCCUGAAACUAGACUCAUAUUACUACUUACCAUAAAAUUUUCAGAAUUUUUGACUUGGCCAAUUAGUACAGUUUAUUCAUUAAAGUAUCCCCUGUUUCACAGCUCGACAGAUCUGACCUCUCGGCACUAAAAAUCAAUUAUCUCUUUGUACAGAAUACAUAUAAGGUUAUCGUUUUUUCUUUUGAAAAUAGACUCACUAAGAAAUCUACACAUAUAAAUUAUGACCCAUAAUUCUUUCUGUACAAUUUAUAAUGAUUUUUUCAAAGUCAGAACAGGGGACUUCAAAAACCAUUCUGACCCUAUCUCACUAAAAUUCAAAUAUCUCAAAAUACAGAAUUCCUUUUCCUACAUCGUUUCUUUCAUAUAAAAAUAGACUUGAUAAGAUUUAAUUCCAUAUAUAAUUCACUCUCUAAUUCCAUUUCUACUAUUUAUGGUGAAUUUUUACAUUCACGUCACUGCUGCUGUCAAAGAAACUGCUUCUUUGAAUUAGUUACCAUUUACACAUACAUAAUACCAAAACAUAAUCUUUACUAACCAUUUCAAUAGCUAAUCUUAGCCAUAUCAUUUGAACAUGCUCAAGAUGAUUAAGACUCUAUACAUGCCAUAGUUCAAACAUUUUGAAAAGCACAUAAUACCGAGAUGGCUAUGAUAGUGUGAUACGAGCUCCGACGGUCCACUAUUCGAUCAAGUUCAAAUCACUAUAAAACAAAGGAAAGAAAGAAAUGUGUAAGCUAUAAAUAGCUUAGUAAGUUACAUGUAAACAAUAAUUACUCAUUUAAUAAUUAACACUUUUAACAUAUAACUAAUCAAAACAUUUCUUAGCAAUUUCAAUCACUUACACAUGCACAAUCUUACCAAUUCACUUGCAUAUACAUUUUCACACUUAACAUUUCAUAUUCACUUUAAUUCAUUAUUAAUCCCGUUGAACAGUUAGAAUAUACACGGAUACGUAGAGAUUUAGCACAUAAGUGCCACACUGAUAUGUAGCCGAAGCUACCACUGAUAUGUAGCCGAAGCUACCACUGAAAUGUAGCCGAAGCUACCACUGAUCAAUAACACUGGAAAUGUCCACGGGUCUGCUCACACAAGCUGUCAGGUGUCUGCAACACAUGCUAGAUCACCCAGCACCCGGGACUCACUGUAACACUGUAACACUGUAACACUGGUCUCUAGUGACAUGUCACUUGUAUCCAAUUCUAUUCCUAAGUUCAACCGGGAAUUUACACUUAACACUUUAUUACUUGAAUAAUUCAUGAACAAUUUUCCUUCCACAUUCAAUAUUAAUUCACAUAUCAAAUAUAAUUCACAAUUUAUACAAAUAUAACUAUUAUUUACAUAAAACUUACCUCGGAUGCAAAACGACUAUUUUUUUGUAAUUUAGUCGAUAACUUUCUCUUUUCCCCGAUCACUUCCACUAUUUCUUCUUUCUUGAUCUAUAUUAACACAAUUUAAUACAUUUUAUCAACAUUUCAUUCAAAUACAAUUCAUACACAACAUUUUGGCAAAUUUAUAUUUUUCCCCGAAACUUUUCAAAAAUUCCACUUUUGUCCCUAAGCUCGUAAAAAUAAAAUUCACUAAAAUUUUUAAAUUUCAAACUUCACUAAAUCAUAUUUCAUGCUCAUAACAGCCCUCAAUUUCACAAAAUCACAACUUUAUGCACACUUUACCAUCUUUCACAAUUUAGCCCUUUUUCAACAUUUUCAUCAAAAUUCAUCUAGUAAAACUUGUAAUUAACACUUCAAACAUUCAUUAUCUAACAUCACUAAUCAAUUUACAAUUAUAUCAUGAAUGGGUAAAUUUUUCAAACUUUAAUUUCAUUUAAAUUAAAUAGUAGAAACAUGAAAUUCAAGCUUCAAUAAGCAUAAAAAUACGAAAAUAAUCAAAAACGGGGCAAGAAAUCACUUACAAUUGAGCUUAGGAAGUUCAAGAACCCUAGCUAUGGUGACAUGAAUUUUUUUGGCAGCAAACGUCUGAUUUUAAGAAGAUGAACACUUGUUUUCAUCUUUAUUUUGUCUUUUAUUCAAUUUGGACAAAAAUGCCCUUGACCCAUUACUUAGAUAUUUUUCUAGAAAUACCCUUUUGUGUCCACAACACUAAUUCAUGGUCUAAUUGCCACAUAAACACUUCCAAUUUCAUGCAAUAAUUCAAUUAAGUCAUUUAAUCACUAAUUAGACACACUUUGCAUUUUUCUCGAUUUAGUCCUAAAAAUUCAAUUAAGCACUAAAGUAUUAAAAUUUCCUAUCCAUAUUUUCACACAAUAUUUCAAUCAAUCAGUAACUAAUAAAAAUUUAUAAAAUUAAACUAUUUCACUUCGGAUUUGUGGUUACGAAACCACUAUUCCGAUUAGGCCCUAUUUCGGGCUAUCACAAUUCUCCCCCCCUUAGGGAUUUUCGUCCCCGAAAAUCUUACCAGUGAAUAAGUUGGGAUACUGUUUCCUCAUAGCCUCCUCAGUUUCCCAUGUUGCCUCUUCCACCCCAUGUCGUUGCCAAAACACUUUCACUAAAGCAAUUUCUUUGUUUCUCAACUGUUUCACUUCUCGUGCCAAGAUUCGAAUCGGUUCUUCUUCGUAUGUCAUAUCCGAUCGAAUUUCCACUUCAGUCGGUGAAAUCACAUGUGAUGGGUCCGAUCGAUAUCGCCUCAACAUAGAAACAUGAAACACAUUAUGAAUUCUUUCCAAUUCCGGUGGUAAAGACAAUCGAUAAGCCACUGGACCAAUUCUUUCUAUCACUUCAUACGGACCAAUAAAUCUUGGACUUAAUUUACCUUUACGGCCAAAUCUCAGAAUUUUCUUCCAUGGAGACACUUUCAGAAAUACUUUAUCACCCACUUGAAACUCAAUCUCUUUUCUUUUCAAAUCCGCAUACGACUUCUGUCGAUCCGAUGCAGCUUUCAAACAAUCACGGAUUAUCUUCACUUUUUCUUCAGUUUCUUUUACCAAAUCGACUCCAUGUAACUGAUUUUCAUUAAGUUCAGUCCAAUAUAAUGGAGUCCGACACUUUCGUCCAUACAACGCUUCAUAAGGUGCCAUUUUUAUGCUGGAUUGAUAACUAUUAUUAUAUGCAAACUCCACCAAAGGUAGAUAUCUUUCCCAAUUACCUUCAAAUUCCAAUACACAACAUCUCAACAUAUCUUCGAGCACUUGAAUUACUCUUUCAGACUGUCCAUCGGUUUGGGGGUGAAAUGCUGUACUAAAAUUCAAUUUAGUACCCAAUGCCUCUUGUAAUUUCUUCCAAAACCUUGAAGUAAACCGUGGAUCUCUAUCAGAUAUAAUAGACGCAGGCACACCAUGUAAUCGAACUAUCUCAGCAAUAUACAAUUCAGCUAACUUGUCAAGUGAAAAACUCAUUCGCACAGGAAUGAAAUGAGCUGACUUAGUCAAUCGAUCAACUAUUACCCAAAUUGAGUCUUUCUUUUUCGGUGACAAUGGCAAUCCGGAAACAAAAUCCAUAGUAAUUCUAUCCCACUUCCACUCGGGCACCAUAAUAGGUUGAAGUAACCCUGAAGGUACUUGGUGUUCAGCUUUUACUUGUUGGCACACAAAACACUUUGUCACAUACUCAGAGAUAUCCCGUUUCAUACCCGGCCACCAAUAUAAUUUCUUUAAAUCAUUGUACAUUUUUACACUACCGGGGUGAACUGCCAACCGACUAUCAUGUGCUUCCUGCAAAAUUUUCUGAAUUAAAUCAACAUUUUUCGGAACACAUAUUCUGUCAUGAAACAUUAAACAUCCAUCUGAAUCAAUUCGAAAAUCAGAAUUAUCGUCCACUGCACACUGAGUCUUUUUUCUUUGCAAUUCAUUAUCCACUUUCUGAGCCUCACAAAUUUCUUGAAGAAACAAUGGUCUAACUUUUAACUCUGCAAACAAUGAUCCAUCUUCAGUCAAUGUUAAUCUCGUAUUCAAAGCUCUCAAAGCAAAGAGAGACUUUCUGCUCAAAGCAUUAGCAACUAUAUUGGCUUUUCCCGGAUGAUAAUCUAUUACAAGUUCAUAAUCUUUCAACAAUUCCAACCAUCUUCUUUGCCGCAAAUUCAGAUCUUUUUGUGUCAUAACAUAUUUCAAACUUUUAUGAUCUGUAAAAACACGACAUUUCUCACCAUAUAAAUAAUGACGCCAAAUCUUCAAAGCAAAGACAAUAGCAGCCAACUCUAAAUCAUGGGUAGGAUAAUUUCGUUCAUGCGGUUUCAAUUGUCGAGAAGCAUACGCUAUCACUUUUCCUUCUUGCAUCAAUACACAUCCAAGCCCAUUUAAUGACGCGUCACUAUAAACAACAAAUUCCUUUCCUGACUCAGGUUGCACUAACACUGGUGCCUCAGUUAAACACUUCUUUAAUUUCUCAAAACUUUGUUGACACUCCUCGGUCCAUUCGAACUUAACAUCUUUUUGCAACAAUUUUGUCAUCGGUGAAGCUAUCAUCGAAAAACCUUCUACAAAUCGACGAUAAUAUCCGGCUAAGCCCAGAAAACUCCUAACUUCAGAUACAUUUCUUGGAGGCUUCCAUUCAACUAUUGCCGAUAUCUUAUUCGGAUCCACUCGAAUGCCAUCUCCCGAGACAACAUGUCCCAAAAAUCCAACUUCACUAAGCCAAAAUUCACUUUUGCUAAAUUUAGCAAACAAUUUCUUUUCUCGCAGCGUUUGUAGCACAAUUCUUAAAUGUUCAGCAUGCUCGACUUCACUUCGGGAAUAAAUAAGAAUAUCAUCUAUAAACACCACAACAAAUUUAUCCAAAUAGGGCCGGAAAAUUCGAUUCAUCAAAUCCAUAAAAAUAGCUGGAGCAUUAGUCAGACCAAAAGGCAUUACAAGAAACUCAUAGUGACCAUACCGGGUUCUGAAAGCAGUCUUUGGCACAUCUGACUCUUUAACCCUCAAUUGGUAAUAUCCGGAUCUCAAAUCAAUUUUGGAAAACACUGUGGCAUCCUUUAACUGAUCAAACAAGUCAUCUAUUCGGGGCAAUGGAUAUUUAUUCUUUACUGUCACUUUAUUAAGUUGACGAUAAUCAAUACACAAUCUCAAUGUCCCAUCCUUUUUCUUCACAAAUAGCACGGGAGCACCCCACGGAGAAUAACUUGGUCUGACGAAUCCUUUAUCCGUCAACUCUUGCAAUUGCACUUUUAAUUCUUUUAAUUCAGUUGGUGCCAUUCUGUAAGGAGCAAUCGAUAUUGGAGCAGUACCUGGCAUUACUUCAAUACCAAACUCUACUUCUCUAAUCGGAGGCAAACCUGGCAACUCUUCUGGGAACACAUCUAAAUAUUCACAUACCACUGGCACUGAUUCGAUCUUUGUUUCAGACACUUUUGUAUUCAACACAUAAGCAAGAUAUGCUUCACAACCAUUUUUCAAACAUUUCUGAGCAGACAUGGCAGAAAUCACAAUUGGCAUCACAUUUGACUUAUCUGUUUCAACCCGAAGAACUGUACCACUACCACACUUCAACUCAAGAAUUUUCUGACUGCAAUCUAUCUUGGCCUUAUGUAAUGUCAACCAAUCCAUUCCCAAAAUAACAUCAAAUUCAUCAAAUGGCAACAACAUCAAGUUGGCAGGGAAACACUGACCUUGUAUCAUCAAAGGACAAUUUUUGCAUAUUUUAUCAACUAUCACAUGCUUGCCUAAAGGAUUCGACACUUUAAUCACAUACUCAGUCAAUUCAACACACAAAUUUUUAUCAGACACUAAAUUCCUACAUACAUACGAGUGAGUAGAACCAGGAUCAAUCAAUGCAAGAACAUUAGUGUCGUAAAGAGAAAAUAUACCAGUGAUCACAUCGGGGGAAGAUGUUUCCUCUCUAGCUCGGAUGGCAUAAGCUCUUGCUGGGGCUCCCACUUCAGAUCUUACAGUCGUGUCUUUUGUUACACCUUUACCACUAGUUCCAGUCCCCACAUUUCUCGAUGGUCUUCCUCUAGUAGUCACACUGCUCGAUCUCACAUUUUGAAACUUUUCUAUCUCUUCUCUUUCUGGACAAUCUUUCACAAAAUGAUCUUGAGAUCCACAUUUAAAACAUGCUCGGCUGAUUAAAUAACAUUCCCCUAAAUGUCGUUUUCCACAAUGUUGACAUUCCGGUCUAGUAGGUUUAACACUACCUACACUUGCCAUAGAAGUCGCCUGAGCUUUAGAACUUGAAUAUUGUCUUCCUCGAUCUCUUUGAAAAUUUACACUAGAAACAUUCGAUCGACUAUUCAUUUCUUUAAACUUCUUCGCUUGAGACUGAAAUGGCUUGCCCAUUGAUCUUUUUCUUGCAUCUCUAACUUCACUUUCCACCUUUCUUUUCUCUUUGCUCAAUUCUUUAGCCUUGAUAGCUCUUUCAACUAGUACCACUAGCUCUUUAAUUUCAAGAAUUCCCACUAGCAAUCGGAUAUCCUCGUUUAAUCCAUCUUCAAACCUUUUGCACAAUGUAGCUUCAUUAGAUACACACUCUUGGGCAUACUUGCUUAAUUUGACAAAUUCUCGUUCAUAUUCGGCUACCGUCAUGCGCCCUUGUUUCAAUUCAAGAAACUCUUUUCUCUUUUGAUCAAUGAAACGCUGACUCACAUACUUCUUUCGGAAUUCUUCUUGAAAGAAAUCCCAUGUAACUUUCUCUUUAGGCACCACUGACACUAAAGUUUUCCACCAAUUAUAAGCUAAAUCCCUCAACAAUGAGAUAGCACAUUUGAGACUCUCUUCUGGAGUACAAGAUAAUUCAUCCAACACUCUGAUGGUAUUAUCAAGCCAGAACUCUGCUCUUUCAGGAUCAUCAUUUACAUUAGCUCGGAACUCUUCGGCUCCAUACUUUCGAAUUUUGUCCACUGGAGGCUUUGACAAUCUUAACACUUCAGUUUGUUGAGGAGCUAUGGGAACAGCUUGAGGAAUAGGAGGGGGCGGAGGAGGUUGAGCAUUAGGAUUAGUUCUAACAAACUCAGUGUACCAAUUGUUCAUCAUUUGGAGAAAAGCUUCUCGAGCCUCAUCUCCUUGACCCUGAGUCUCAAAUCGACUUUCAACAGGCACAUUACUUUGAGCAUCAUCAGCUGUAUCUCGGUUAGAAUCCAUUACUAUAAAAAAAAACAUUUUAAGAUGUCAGGAGUCGUCACACCAUCAUUAUUCAAUUAUGGCAUGUAUAGAUAGUCUAUUACACUCGCUACGUUAGUCCGAGAAUCGACUAAACCGUAGCUCUGAUACCACUAAAUGUAACACCCCUUACCCGAGACCGUCGCCGGAAUCGAGUACGAGAUGUUAUCCAAUUUAACUUACCAAUUCGGAGCAUAAAAAAAAAUUGCUUUUAAAAUUAAAUUCACUGUUCACAACAAAACUGUCUACCUGCGUGACUUUCACUAAUUUAAUUAUAACUCGAGUUACAGAACUCAAAAUUUAAAUCCGUAAAUUUUCCCUGAAACUAGACUCAUAUUACUACUUACCAUAAAAUUUUCAGAAUUUUUGACUUGGCCAAUUAGUACAGUUUAUUCAUUAAAGUAUCCCCUGUUUCACAGCUCGACAGAUCUGACCUCUCGGCACUAAAAAUCAAUUAUCUCUUUGUACAGAAUACAUAUAAGGUUAUCGUUUUUUUCUUUUGAAAAUAGACUCACUAAGAAAUCUACACAUAUAAAUUAUGACCCAUAAUUCUUUCUGUACAAUUUAUAAUGAUUUUUUCAAAGUCAGAACAGGGGACUUCAAAAACCAUUCUGACCCUAUCUCACUAAAAUUCAAAUAUCUCAAAAUACAGAAUUCCUUUUCCUACAUCGUUUCUUUCAUAUAAAAAUAGACUUGAUAAGAUUUAAUUCCAUAUAUAAUUCACUCUCUAAUUCCAUUUCUACUAUUUAUGGUGAAUUUUUACAUUCACGUCACUGCUGCUGUCAAAGAAACUGCUUCUUUGAAUUAGUUACCAUUUACACAUACAUAAUACCAAAACAUAAUCUUUACUAACCAUUUCAAUAGCUAAUCUUAGCCAUAUCAUUUGAACAUGCUCAAGAUGAUUAAGACUCUAUACAUGCCAUAGUUCAAACAUUUUGAAAAGCACAUAAUACCGAGAUGGCUAUGAUAGUGUGAUACGAGCUCCGACGGUCCACUAUUCGAUCAAGUUCAAAUCACUAUAAAACAAAGGAAAGAAAGAAAUGUGUAAGCUAUAAAUAGCUUAGUAAGUUACAUGUAAACAAUAAUUACUCAUUUAAUAAUUAACACUUUUAACAUAUAACUAAUCAAAACAUUUCUUAGCAAUUUCAAUCACUUACACAUGCACAAUCUUACCAAUUCACUUGCAUAUACAUUUUCACACUUAACAUUUCAUAUUCACUUUAAUUCAUUAUUAAUCCCGUUGAACAGUUAGAAUAUACACGGAUACGUAGAGAUUUAGCACAUAAGUGCCACACUGAUAUGUAGCCGAAGCUACCACUGAUAUGUAGCCGAAGCUACCACUGAAAUGUAGCCGAAGCUACCACUGAUCAAUAACACUGGAAAUGUCCACGGGUCUGCUCACACAAGCUGUCAGGUGUCUGCAACACAUGCUAGAUCACCCAGCACCCGGGACUCACUGUAACACUGUAACACUGUAACACUGGUCUCUAGUGACAUGUCACUUGUAUCCAAUUCUAUUCCUAAGUUCAACCGGGAAUUUACACUUAACACUUUAUUACUUGAAUAAUUCAUGAACAAUUUUCCUUCCACAUUCAAUAUUAAUUCACAUAUCAAAUAUAAUUCACAAUUUAUACAAAUAUAACUAUUAUUUACAUAUAACUUACCUCGGAUGCAAAACGACUAUUUUUUUGUAAUUUAGUCGAUAACUUUCUCUUUUCCCCGAUCACUUCCACUAUUUCUUCUUUCUUGAUCUAUAUUAACACAAUUUAAUACAUUUUAUCAACAUUUCAUUCAAAUACAAUUCAUACACAACAUUUUGGCAAAUUUAUAUUUUUCCCCGAAACUUUUCAAAAAUUCCACUUUUGUCCCUAAGCUCGUAAAAAUAAAAUUCACUAAAAUUUUUAAAUUUCAAACUUCACUAAAUCAUAUUUCAUGCUCAUAACAGCCCUCAAUUUCACAAAAUCACAACUUUAUGCACACUUUACCAUCUUUCACAAUUUAGCCCUUUUUCAACAUUUUCAUCAAAAUUCAUCUAGUAAAACUUGUAAUUAACACUUCAAACAUUCAUUAUCUAACAUCACUAAUCAAUUUACAAUUAUAUCAUGAAUGGGUAAAUUUUUCAAACUUUAAUUUCAUUUAAAUUAAAUAGUAGAAACAUGAAAUUCAAGCUUCAAUAAGCAUAAAAAUACGAAAAUAAUCAAAAACGGGGCAAGAAAUCACUUACAAUUGAGCUUAGGAAGUUUAAGAACCCUAGCUAUGGUGACAUGAAUUUUUUUUGGCAGCAAACGUCUGAUUUUAAGAAGAUGAACACUUGUUUUCAUCUUUAUUUUGUCUUUUAUUCAAUUUGGACAAAAAUGCCCUUGACCCAUUACUUAGAUAUUUUUCUAGAAAUACCCUUUUGUGUCCACAACACUAAUUCAUGGUCUAAUUGCCACAUAAACACUUCCAAUUUCAUGCAAUAAUUCAAUUAAGUCAUUUAAUCACUAAUUAGACACACUUUGCAUUUUUCUCGAUUUAGUCCUAAAAAUUCAAUUAAGCACUAAAGUAUUAAAAUUUCCUAUCCAUAUUUUCACACAAUAUUUCAAUCAAUCAGUAACUAAUAAAAAUUUAUAAAAUUAAACUAUUUCACUUCGGAUUUGUGGUUACGAAACCACUAUUCCGAUUAGGCCCUAUUUCGGGCUAUCACAGGUUGUGAUUUGAAAUUUGCAGGGAAGGUUAGAUAAAUAUAAAGGGGUUAUAUUGAAUUUUUUUAUAAAUUUCAAUGGAAUAGUUUUUGGACAGCAGCAUUGAUGUAACUUUGAAAAAUCACAAAAAAUAGUGGAAAUAGAAUUAAAAGUUGAAUGAGAUAUGAAAUUAAAUCCGAAUGAAUCUAUUUUCACAUGACAGAAGUAGAAUAAGCAAAAGAGUUAUAUAUUUUUAGAUAAUUGAAUUUUAGUGAAACAGGGCAAGAAUGUUUUUGAAGUCCCAUGUUCUGACUUUAGAAAUUCAUUAAAAAUUGUACCGAAGGAAUUAUGAGUUAUAAUUUAUAUUUAUAGAUUCCUUAAUGAGUCUAUUUUCAGUAGAGAUAAGUAGAAGCACCAUAUGAAGUCUGUACAAAGAGAUAUUUGAAUUUUAGUGAUAAGAGGUCAGAAUAGUCAACCAGUGAAACAGGGGAGACUUCAACUAAUAAACUGUACUAAUUGGAUGAACCAAAAAUUCUGAAAAAAUCAUGGUGAAUAGAUAUAUGAGUCUAGUUUCAGAGAAAAUUUACGGGUCUAUAUUUAGAGUUUUGUAACUUGAGUUAUAAUUAUUUUAGUGACUGCUGCGCAGGUGGACAGCUUUAUUGUGAAUAGUGAAAUUAAUUUUGAAAGUAAACUUUUAUGCCCCGAACUUUUAAGUUAAGUCAAGUAACGCCUCAUGCUCGACUCCGGCAACGGUCUCGGGUAAGGGGUGUUACAUACUUAUAACUUUUCAUUUGCAGCUAUUGAAACAUUAUAUAUAUUCGGAAAUAUUCCAACAAUCUCUCCCUCCCAAUUUCAAAAUAUUCUAGAUUUUGAUAAUCUUUGAAAGCAAUUGCAUAAAUGAAUGAAUCUUGCAAUUGAACCUUCACUCACUCAAAACAAGUUAAAAUUAAUUGAAAUUGCAUGGUAGGCUAAUCUUUGACCCAACUAUUCCAUUUAAUUAACCAAACACAUCUCACAAAAUGAUUUCGACACCAUUCAAUGCAUAAUAUCUAGGGACACUAUUAUAGUCACGUGCCUAUAACCUCUUUUCAUGAGUGUUGUUAGAGCUAAGCCUUUGAGCUCCUAAAACGGUCACACUUCCACUCACAGAGGUAGAUUCCACCAAGAGUGUUCCCGUAAUUAUAACAUUCUAACACAUUUAUGUUAUGAGACUAUUAAGAGUAUAUUACUCAUUCUUCCAUGUUAAUAAUAUAUACCACAUAAUAAACUUUAUAUUUAUUUGUUUCUUGAAGUUACAAUACUAACACUCUCACCAUAUUCAAUUACCCAUUCUUUCGCAAAAGAAUGUCAUUAAGGAUAUCCUUUGUACAAUUAUCAAUUUACCAUUAUCACUUAUCAGGAUGGCUUCACAUUUUGUUUAUUUAUUUCUUUUCCACCAAGUAAGUUUCAUAACUUAUUUUCAUAGUAAUAUAAGACCUUAAAACUCAUUGUGUAUAAACACUCUACUAGCAUGGCUUCUUUUUUCAACAAACCAUAUACAAACAGGGGUGUUUCAUGUUUUUAGAACAUAGACAUAUUUAAGGACAACAACUAGCCUAUCAUUUAAUUAUAAUAUCACACAUUUAUACAGCCUUUAUCAUGGACAUUAUUAGUCAUUUUGUGACUAUAAUAAAAACCAUGCCCAUCACCUAAAUGAGAUAAAUAGCUUUAUGUUGUUAUUUUAAUGCAAUUGAGAUAUUUGAUUCAUAAUUUCCAAAAUAUAUUUGAAAACUUACUGUAUUUAAAAACUUUAUAGAUUUAUGAGAUUAUAAAUCAUAUUUCAAGCCAUAUAUUAAAAAUUAUGUGCACCAUCAUAAACAUGCACAAUUUGAUCUCGAUAACUUCCCACUUGGUUCUCUUUGUAUUUUACUUGGGAACUUAUAAUAUGUUACGAUAGAAAAUCCUAAUAGUUAUUAGGCCCGGCCCUAAUAGCUAUAGAGUGUAAUAUUUGAUUAUUUUAAUAAAUAUGGAUAAUUUCCUAAAUUAAUCUUAUAUUACAUAAUGUUAUUAAUGUUAUUUUUUUUACAUCAAAAUAACAAUCUUAAAAUGCUACUAAAUCAUUACAGAUUGUUUUUUAAUUUUUAUAUGAAAAUAAUAAAUAUGAUUUUGUAAAAUUAUAAUAACAUUCUAUGCUAAAUAUUUUCGUAUUAUAAUUAAUUUAAAAUUUAAAUUAUAUACAUAUGUAUGAAAAUACAAACUAGGUAUAUAUAAAUUGUGAUUCCUUAAUGAAAAAAAGGUUUUAACAAAUAAAAUUGUCAUACCUGUUUAUAAACGAGCAUCUGAUUGUGUAUAUAUAUAUAUAUUCUCAUUCCUUAAAAAAAGUUUAAACAAAUAAAAUUGUCAUAUCUGUCAUCUCAAUUAGUUGUAAUAAUUAAACUAGACCAUUCCUCUUUGGACUAACCACUAUCUCUAAUUAUUGGUCUCCCGUCUCCUCUAUAUCUUUGAUUUUCAUGGCUCAUCCUCUAUUACCCACCACAAUAUUUAUAGUAAAAUUAUUUAAAAUUUGCCUUUUUAAAAAAAAUAUGUAAUAUUUAAAAUUAAAGAUAAAAAUGUAAAAUAUAAUUUAUAAUUUAUAAUUUAUGUUUAUCAAAUAAUAUAAUUCCAUUUAAAUUUACAUCAAACAAAUAUUAUAAUUCAAAUUCAACAUUUAAAAUUUCAAUUUAUUAAAUAAGAUUUUAAUGUACUAUUAAUUUGCGAUAUAUGUUGAGAUCCUCAAUUAAACAUAAACAUAAAAUUUUCUUAAACCCUAACUUUCUAAAACAUGUUCAAUAUGUGUAUCAUCUUAUUUAAUAUUAAGUUGUAAUGCAACGAAUUAAACAUUUUAAAGAAUAUAUUUUAUAUAUCAAAGAGUUUAUAGUUUUAAAAAAAUAAAAAAGAAGAAGUUAGGUUUGAAAUUAAAGUAAAUUACUAGUAAGGUGAACAGAAAGAAUUACUAGUAAAUUACUAGUAAGAUGGUGACCAAAGUAGUGAGUCAUGGACUAGAAUUGUAUGGAGAAGCAACGAUAAGAGCCAAAAGUCAAAAGUCAAGCAGGCUAGGCUAAACAAUGUUUGCCAACCCAAGCGCCCAGAUUAGCUAAGAUUUUCUCCUGUUGACUAUAAUUAACUAAGAUCCAAUCCCAAUCCCAAUUUCAUUUGAACUGAUAGGACACGCAUAAGACGACAAUUCAAACAGCACUAAGUUGAAGUAACCCUUUGGGUACUUGGCAAUUAAGCAUAUGCUCUUUUUUAACAGCCUCAAAAGCUAGAAAGCUAAAAUCUAAUGUUUAAUUAUUGGAAUUUGUUUCUGUUUUCCCCAAAAUAACCAUUUUCUUUUGUAUUCUUCAAAGGCUACUUUCGUCAUUUGAGGAUACGUCUUAGAAUUUCGAAACGGGGAAAAAAAAUCUUAGCUGUUUGAGUUGAGGUUACGAUACUGUCCGAAACAACGAAAAAUAUGUCUGAUCCGAAAAUUGCCCUUGUAAUAGACUAGAAAUUUCCAAUUCAGUCAAUCCUCUCUCUCCCUAGUUCUUAGCUUUUAUUUGUGGGAGGCUUUGUUUGUAAUUUUGUUCAAUUCCAAGGCCAUUUCAAAUUUCUGGCUGUUUCCCUCGUCACACUCAAACCCGCCAGUCUCACUGUGGACACUCUCUCAGCUGGAACCGCCACUUUCUCUGCAAGGGACUAACCUUUAGACCCUGAAAACCCGGUUUUAGCGAGAGAAGCAGAAGGGGUUGUAGAGAGAGAGAGAGAAAGAAAGAAGGAAACGAGAAAUAUCGUGAAAUUCAAAGGGAAGGGAUGGCGAUCCCCGAAGUAAACCGCCAACAAGCCAGAGGGAGACCUACGGCGUCUUCAACACGACCGCCGGUUCGAGCUAGAAUUCGGCUCCGGCAGCUGCUUCGAGUCACUUCCGUGGCAUGCGGGAUACAGUUCGGAUGGGCUUUACAGCUCUCGCUUUUGACACCUUACGUUCAAGAGCUAGGUAUACCUCACCAGUGGGCCAGCAUCAUAUGGCUUUGCGGGCCGCUUUCGGGCCUCCUCGUACAACCUCUGGUGGGACACAUGAGCGACCGAUGCACCAGCCGCUUGGGUCGUCGCCGACCUUUUAUCGUGGCUGGUGCAGUUUCGAUUAUCGUUGCCGUUUUGAUCAUCGGUCACUCCGCCGAUAUCGGAUGGUUGUUCGGCGAUACAGAGGCGUCCCGGCCGAGAGCUAUCGUGGCGUUUGUUUUCGGGUUUUGGAUUCUUGAUGUUGCUAAUAACGUGACUCAAGGUCCUUGUAGAGCUCUACUUGCUGAUCUUACUGGUUAGUAUCUGUUCCUUCAUUUAUGGAGUUUGAUCGGAUUAACUAUUAUAUCAUAUGUUAGUUUUCCUUCAAGAAUGAAUAAACUUCUGAAAUUGUUGGGCAUUUAUAUGUUAUAAAACCAUAUAUGCUAAUCAGAUGGUUUCAACCCCCUCAUAUACAUAUAUAUGUAUUUGAAUAAGUAGUUGAAUUUUAUUAUCCAAGAAAGCAGCAUAGCUGCUACAGAAUUACAACUCAUGAUCUUUGUUGUACAAUUAAUCAAACAUCUCAAAGUUUAGCUUCCAGUGCGUAUACUGUGUCAAAUCCAUAGUACCCAAUCUAAUUUUUUUUGGUUGUACAGUUGCAUAGCUACCACUCCUCUAAUUUGCUCUAGCAAGUUGUCUUCAGUCCUCUCAUUAUGUGUAUGGAUUCUACCAUUCCUUCUUGACAAAAUAAAUCAUGGUAGUCCAAGCUACGCAUAUGAUGGUUUUUGCCAAGCUCUUGCUUUUGAUUUUCAUACCGAUCCAUCACAAUUCUUCCUCCCAGCUUCUUGCUUGUUGUUGCCGUAUCUUCUUUGUAAAGUUACAUUUUGAAAACAAGUGUUCUCUAGUCUCUCUUUCACGCUUGCAGAGGGAGUAACCCUUGUCAAGUGUCAUCUCCUAGGCAAUGAGUAAGUCCGUGGUUGGAAGUCUGUUCAAAACUACCAUCCAAGCAAUCAGUGAGUGAGUGGUUGGAAUGAAGAGCCUUGGACCGUAAUUCUUUGUGCCAAGUUACAUUUCCCCUCAAUGCCUUAUUGCAUUCCAAACACCUGGUAGUUGAAAUUUAUUACCUUUAAAAGGCCAACUACAUCUUCCACCAUCUCCUUCAGUUACCGCUUGCAAAACAGUUUGCCUCAUUUGUAAAAGUUCUCUCUAGUUCCAACUGCAACUUAUUUGGGAGGAAAAUUCUUAGAUUUCCUUCCCUUUAAGAAUAUAUAUAUUUUUGCCCAAGCUAUCCAAAGAGAACCCACUUUUGUCAAUACAGUCCAGAAAUUUCUGGGAAAGCAUGUCUGGUUCCAUGUUUUCUUUUAUGCCUAGGGCUUCUAGUUUUGGCAAAAAAAUAUGGCUCUAGUAGCAAUCCUCUCCUUGUCCUUUCAUAAGAAGCUUGAACAUGGUAGUGAGAGUCUGUGAAUGCGUGCUUUGGGAGCAUGAAAUGUCUACACCAUUAGUUCUGAAUAUGGAAGAUUGAUUGUAUCAGUUUGACAAAUAUAUGAUAAAUGUUUUAAAGACCAUCCUGCAAUCUUGGCCCCUAUUGUCUCAGUAAGUAGUUUACAAUCCCUCUUGGAUAGCCUUCUAGUGACCAGAGGCAUUCUAAGGUACCUAACUAGAAGUUUACCAAGCUUAAACCUUGAUGCUUCAUGGAUAGCCAUAAGCUUUUCUUUACUCCAAUGGAGUAAAGUUCAUACUUUGCAUUAUUAGUCUGAAGCCCAGAGAAUAGAUAGAACAUUCCAAUACCAUCUUGAUUCCUUGAACAAAGUCAAGAUGAGCAAGUCAUCCAUGAUGCUAUGAUGGGUUAUGCGAAGCUUGUUGCCUUUUUUAUGUUAAGCAAAAAUUCCAACCUUUGCUGCACUGUCCAAAAGUCUUGAUAAAAUAUAAUUGUCAAUAUAGAGAGGUAUAGGAGAGGGGGUCACCCUCACCCCUUUUGCUCCCUUAAAAAAACCUUAAAGCCCCCCAUUAAUAGAGAUUGAAAAUCUUAAUGCUGUUCUUUUGUUGUUAUUAUUGUUUGCAAAAGCUCAAUAGUUAAGCUUUAUGGACAGGCAACAAGGUUAGGAUCAUUGGUGCCAAGUUGACUUUGAAAUGAAGAUGUAAACUUCUGUUGAAAUUUGGGGGAACAAAUCCAACCUGUUCCUGUUUUCUUCAAGCAAUAUCUUUAUUGAAUUCUUGCAUUGAUGACUCUUCACUAUCAUAUAAAAGUAAGCUAUAUGGAGAUCUUGUUCCCAUAACCAUUGUACUCGUGACUGUUGUCUAUACAACACUCACUUUUCAUUUUGUUCUCGUAGCUCUAAGUUUAAGGAAGCUUGUUUUGGAACCAUUCCUCAAAACUAAGAUCUGAAUAGCUUUUAACUCCCUAUUUGUGGCUUUUACCUUGUUAGAUAUGCUCCCAUAAUUACUUCUGUUGAACUGCCUCAAAAUGGACUUUGUAAUGGAAGUAGAAAUCGAGAAAAAGUAAACAAAAAUUUAUGAGAAGAGAAAACUUGUGUUUAUUCACAUCAUAUAGUAUCCUAUUUAUAUUAGUUAUAAGAGUAAAGGAAAGAAAUUAAAGUAAAUAAAAUUCCUUACUUUUUCAAUAUUCUGCUUUUGUGCUCGAUCUUGCUACAAUAUCCUUUUUUCCUCUUUAUGAUAUUAGAUUCCUUCAAAUAAAGACACAAUAUCUUGAAGUGAACUACCUAUUUGAGGGAGAUCUUACCCAAUUGGCAUAUGAGUAUCCACCAACUUGUGUAUCACUUUAUAUUCAUAAAAUAAACCUUGCCCUGGGGCACCUUUGGCAUAUUUAAGGAUGCGUAUUAUUGCAUUUCAAUUGGAGGAAUUGACUAACCACACUUAUUGUAAAGGGAAUAUAUGAAAAUGUGAUAAUGAGAUAAUUAAGUUUCCCAACUUAUCUUUGAUAUUGACUAGGAUCCUUUAGUGGCUCGCCUGUCGUGAAACAAGCUUGGCAUCAGGAUCAGUAGGUUUACAAUCCAACAUUCUUGUUUCUUUCAGAAUAUCCAAUGCAUGCUUCCUCUAAGAUGUAACAAUGCUUUUGUUUGAUUGCGCUACCUGAAUGCCCAUAAUAUAUUUAAACUUCCCCAAGUCUUUAGUUUGAAAAUGGUUGAAGAGAUGUUGCUUGAGUUGAAUAAUUCUUUAAUGAUCAUCAUCUAUAAUAACAAUAUCAUCCACAUCUACCACCAGAUUGGUAUGAUGGUAAAAGACCGAGUUAUCUUCUUCACUCAUUCUCAUCCCAAAUUAUUGGAUAACAUGCUAAAUGGACUAAGGGUUAUGAGAAGAAUGAAUACCUUGCUAUGGGUUGAAUAGGGUCUUCUGCU